UCCAUCAACUUGUCUUGCUCACUAUGCUUAAGGUUAGAGAAGAACAAAUACACUUUUGGUUCUGUUGGUGUUUUCCACCAACAGGGCCCAUGCACUUGAUCUCUGCCUUGUCUCUAUGAGCAGGUACACUACGAGCACAAACACACUGAGCAAGAUACUGCUAACACCGCACUUCGAACUGCUGGGCAAACGAAGAACAUGGGUGAGACACCGUAUUAAAAGGUGCAGACGUCAAGGUCCGCACCUGAAUCAAAUGACGCACCUGAAGAAUGAACACGGUGAGAAGUCUUGUCAAGAAGACUUAAAACAUUGAACCCUCGCCGAAAGGUAAGAUUGGUAGUUAUCCAUAUUUAUCCUUUCUGCAUUCCCUUUUCCCUUUAAUUAUUUACUUUCCAUAAAUAGAUUAUUAGUUAAUCAUGCUAUCUUGAAAAGAAAAUAAAAAUGUUAAAAAAAUACUAAGCCCCAUGUGAGUAUACGAGUGGCAUAAAACCCAUAAGUACCUUCACUGUGGUGGCAUAAAAAUAAAUAUUUCUUUUUUACUUUAUAAAAUAAAAAUAUAAAAACAGGGAGUAAUAUUUAUUGAGGAAGCUCAACGUGAUGAAGGCUAGAUAUUUAUGCUAACACUUAAUUAGUUCCACAAGCUUUGUUGUCUAUUUGAGCUCCACAAAAUUUAAGAAUCAAGAAGACUAGCAGAUGGAGGACAUUCUAAUCGCUGUCAGAAUGCUGCUGACUUUCAAAUACACCUCUGCCACCUGCUAGCUACAUCAAGAGAAAUUACGUCAAAAUUCAGCUUGGGGGAGAGCACCCCUAUUUAUCUCACUAAGUAUUUCUACCUAUCUUUAUACUUAUAUUAUAUUAGAAUAUUAAAAUACAUAAACUAUGAAAAACCAAAAAAAAAAGAUUUUAUGCUUAUAUAUAUAUAUAUAUAUAUCUUUUCUUGGUUUGCUAAAUAAAUAAAUAAAUAAAUAAAGUUUGCUAUGAAUCUUAAUAAUAAAACUCUAGCAUGGAUAUGAUGAAUAGUUGCUCUGCCUAAUUUGCAAAUUUAAAGUUCUCUCUCAAGUUUAGACAUAACUGUUAUAAUUUAAAGCUUGCUCUAGAUCUAAACUUGUGGGAUGAAAACUUGAUCUGAAAUCUAAGUUGUUAACGGAUAAGAUAUGGGAAGGUUGAGCUGCUGUUUAUCUGUUUCUAGAGAUGCUAGAAUUCUGGAGAAUUUUAUCUUUGAAAAUCUUUAAAAUGUUGCAUGAUGAGUUCCUGUAUGAUGAGAGUUUAAAUUCCUACCACAGCCAUAUAUACAUGCUUGCUAGACUUUGAGCCACACAUUUAUUUACUGCUUAUGAGCAUUGAGUGUGGUCAAGCUGUGUAGACCCUUAGGAGCUUGUCAUGUGGUUAAAUCAAGAUUCACUUGCACGUUCACUCAUAUAUGCUACUUCUACUCUGGAAGUACCAUCCACAUAUAUCCAUCCAUUUCCAUCUCCAGUUUCACCCAAAAUCAUUCUACUCCUAAUCCGGGAGAGAAUAGCCAAAAACAUUUUCCUAUCCCUGUUAUUCCCUGUGAAAUAAAUGCUCCAGUUAUUUUGGUUACUACCACUUGCUACAUUAUUUCAGGAGAUGAGUGCUCUAAAAAAAAGAUAAGAAAAGAAAAAAAAAUAUAAUAAUAAACGAGGAAAUAAAAAGGGGCAAGUGCCUGGAACCUCGAAAGAAAAGAAAAAGUGAGACGAGAGGUAAAAAUGGACAAGUGUCCGACAGUAGAAUUAGGGGUACAAGAUACCCACCUGAGAGGAAAGAAAAAGAAGAGCAUCUCAUUCUCCUCAUAAAGUUUCAAAAAGCAAGGAAGGUAUGUAUCCCCUCAUAAGAGCAAAAGUAGAAUUAGACUUUCACCAUUAUUAUCACCAUCAUCAUUAUACACCAUUCAUUCGCCACACAUGCACAUCUUGAUUUGGCUUAUUGAUUUGUUUCUUUGGAUCCAUGGUUUGACUAUACAAUAAAUGUCUUGUAAGUAUGUAUAUUUUAUCUCCCACCUAUGAGCUCCAGAUAUUAAAGCCUUAUUAGAGUAGGGUGGGAGAGAAGGCAAUGUCACUAUGCCUUAUACCACAAAUACCACAUAUUUUGAGAGAAGGCAUAUACCAUCACUGCCUUGGUAAGGAUCCAGAAAUACCACAAAAGAGAGAUAUGAGAGAGUCAUACAAAGGAAUCUCUGAGUUUUAUUUGGAAAUCUGCAAAAACUCCAGAGCUAUAGCUGAUCAAGAAUAAGCGACAUGGCACUUGACUGGACUGUUCUAUCUUUUAACCACUCAAGACAGAAGUGACGGUUACAAGUCCCAUGGUGAAACAUAAAGUAAGUAAGUUUUAAGUCUUGAUAGUUUACUCUAACUCAGAGAUGAGACCUCAUUUAAAAGCAUGUGUACCGUCAAAUUUUAAAGAUAUUGCAACAACUUAUGAUCCAUAGCUGAGUCUAUCCUUGCUCAGGGACGAGCAAGAGGUAAGCUUGGGGGAGUUUGUUGACGGUCCUUAAGUAUUAAAUUUAACUAUCAAAUAAACAAAGAAAAGGAUCCAAAUGAAAUCAACAUCGAGACUUAGGGUUUUAUCUGACAGAAUUCCACGAGUUUUGGUAUUUGUCUAUUUUUGCAGGGUGUUAUCAGGAAAUAAGGAAGAAAGGCCCACACGUCGGGAUUACAUAGAGAUAUCAACGUGCCGCGCAAUUAUCUUACAUCUAGAAGACUCCAGAAGCCACGGGAAGGAAGCGGAGACCGAACGGAGUCAGGGACAGGGCGCCCGCCCAAGUCCUUAGGGCGCCCGCCCAUCUUUUUCGGCCAAUCACGCUCAAUCUCGCGGAUUAUGCUCCACCGACCUAAAGGAUCAAGAAUAACCGUUCAAUCAAUGUCGGUUUGAUCCGACGGCCCAGGUUCACUUGAGGGGACUAUAAAACCAGACCCCCUGGCCCCUGGAGGAGGCACCCCUUGAUCAUUAUUCAUUAUUCAUAGACAGAACAAAAGCUAGGGUUUAGAGAUGAGAGCUCUCCUCUCUUCUCUAAACUAGAGUAGAUCUAGAUAGUAGCGAGAUGGAGAGUGAAGGAGGAUUAGAGGAGAGGCCGGCCUAUCGGUUCUUCCUCCGGUUGUACUUCGCCAUGAUCAAGCUCUAAUCAAGCUUGCUCAUAGGAUGACUCUGGUAAUCUACUUCUAAUUCAUUAUGCAAUUACUAAUCAUGUAUGUUCUGGUUCACAACUCUUUUGAGUACUUCUAAUCUAUAGGACCCUAUAGGUUAGAGUUGUAGUAUAGGUGUAAGCGUGGUGCUUAGACCUAGAUUACUUGUGGAUAUCCCCUGACUAGCUGGAUCGUGUGGUAGGCCACGUAGGUGACAGUUACGUUGGUCCCCUGUAGUCCACCUCUCGUUAGCAGGACGGGUAGGGUUUAUCGGCCUAUGGAUAAGCAUCCUUUGUGGUGUACUCUUAUCACGUGGUUCGUCCCAGACAUAGACAUACCCCUUUGAAGUAGAGAAACCAUAGUUAUCCUCUCUAUUCUGCUACCAUCGCCCAUAUACUAGAAUUGCUCUACUCUCUAUUCCCAUAUUAUCACCUAUUGUUAUCUUACCUUUAAUAUUGUUCUUAUUCGAUUCUAUCAUCUUUCCUAUUUACACCUAUCUAUCUAUCUUGGUUAAGUUAGAGCGUAGUUGGUUCUCCCGUUUCCCUGUGGAUACGAUAAAACCUUUAACCGGGUAAAAGCUUCAACGGUAUCCGUGCGCUUGCGGAUUAUCUGUGUGCGUAUAAAUACCAUAGUACACUCUAGUGCCAUGCUGGGGAUGACAACCUAGUAUUCAAGUGGUGUUAGCAAGUGUCAACAACUUCCCAGGUCGAUAUUAAAAGUUUUCCUGCAGGGUUAGUCCAACAAAAUAUCCAAUAUCUACUAUAGGAUACUAUCGGCUCAAAAAUCAACCUAGACACCAUGUCUAAUUUGAUUUAGGAGGGCAUUUUAACCUAAGCACCAUGCUUAAUUUAAAAUCCCUUGGAAGUAAGAUCAUCAUUCCUAAACUAAGCACCAUGCUUAAUUAAGAUAUAAAUGAAACUGCUCCAAACCUAGACAUAUACUAAAGCAAAUAGAGGUAGCAUGCGAGCAUUUAUAGAGAUCUACUCAAGUGGAGAUGAAGUAGAAUGAUUAGUGUUUAACAAAUUGAACAUGUCUCAAAGGUAGGGACAACCAACAUAGCAACAUGGCAAAGGAUGUUUUUAUGUGAAGUACUCCCCCAAGCUUGAAUUUUGCAAAAUUCAAGAUUGGAUGAAUUUAAUUCAAUGUUGCAUGAUGAUUGGUUGGACAUACCUUGUGCUUGUCAUUCAUCCAAUCUUCUUGCUCCAAUCCUGGAAAGGUUAGUGACAAGAAUAUCCGAAGGAAUAUUUUUACAAUUAUCCUUAUAUGCUCAACACACAAGGUAAUGUUGCAAAUAAUUAAAAGCUCAUGUUGCAAUCUGAUCAGUGCUUGUUUUAGGACACUAAGCUUGUCCUUGGGAAACCAUCAAUUUAUGUCGGCGAAGUGGUUUCCCCUCCAACGCUGACCUAUAUCAAGAUCAACUCAACGAGAUCUGCAAUAUUUAAUAUAGACAUAUGCAUCGACAACCACCCUUUUAAAGUUUUUAUAAAUAGAAAUGAUGAGGGGGUUGGAGAUCUCGAAUGUGGUGAUGUUGGAAAAACCAAUGGAUUGGGAAAAUGUUGCAUAUGAGCAUGGAGUAAAUGAAGUGGCUAUGAAAUAAAUUUCAUGCUCAUUAAUGCUUAGAGUCAAAUCCAUGUGGUAUGGUGAAAAUGAUAAGGUGAGUGUGGUAAAAAAGGAAAAGAAAAAGGAUACACGGACGACUUGGUUCAAAACUAGCACAGCUACCGUUCCCCGGCAACGGCACCAGAAAGCUUGUUGGGUAUUUUAAACGCAAACAGAAAAAUCCGCCAGCGCACGGAUGCCGAUGUAGACUUCACCCGGGAGUAUUCCAAAGUAUCGAUUUUCCACAGUGAACUUGAGUGUACUAAUUAAGAUUCAAGAUCGCCCAAGGAUAACUAUAUAAUUAUUUUUGGUGGGAAGAGAGGAAGUUUCCUGAGAGUUCUCCAGUUGAUCUAAGACUCAAGAAUUACUUCAAGAUUAUCUAUUUCAGGACAUCAGAACACUAACCACAGAAAGAGAUGAGAAGGGGGCUAGGAAGCUCUCACUAUGGUCCUACAAACACCGAUCCGAACGAGGUGGAAUACGUCGACCGUUAGGGCUGUCACUACCAUAGGGCUACCACAACAAUCCGCAGGAUUGGGUGCAAUUCUAGGUAACUGCAAGACUAAACACCACGUCUAAUCUAUUAAUUACUACUCUAAUGUUUCAAAGAUUAGAGCACUUGAUGCAAGCGGGAAUCCAAUAAAUAACUUGAAUGUAAAUAAAAGUAAUUAAAGAACUCAGGAAUUAUGAAUUGAAGAACCUGGAGAACGAUGAAGAACGAACCAGAUGCUGCAAAAGUAUAAUGUUGAGGAAGAUCCGACAGAUCCGGCUCCUCCUCCGCUCUCCUCUUCUCUCUCCCUAUUUUCUAGAUUACAACUAGAACUAACUAGAACUAGAACUAGAGGAACUAGAACUAGAAGAACUAGAGGGAUCCUCUCUACUUGGAUGAAGAAUUGAAACCCUAGCUUUGAUUCUGUAGAAGAGGUAUGCUCUCCAGGGGCUAGGGAGCCUUGCUUAUAUAGUCUUUUCAGAUGAAUCUGGGCCGUCAGAUUAAACCGACAUUAAUCGCACGGUUUUCCUUGAUCCUUUGGUCGGUGGAGCAAAAUAUGCGAAACGGGUCCGAAUUGGACACUGUAGCUGGGCGGGCGCCCUGUCCCUGAGCCCUCUCGGCCUCCGCUUCGUUCCCGUGGCUUCUGGAGUCUUCUAGAUGAUUGAAAAUUGCACGGCACGUUAAUAUCUCUAUGUAAACCUGACGUGUGGGCCUUUCUUCGGUAUUUCCUGAUAACCCCUUGCAGAAAUAGACAAACACCAAAACUCGUGGAAUUCUGUCAGAUAAAACCCUAAGUCUAGGUGUUGGAUGCAUUUGGAUCCUUUUCUAUGAUUAGUUGAUGGUUAAAUAUGAGCAUUAAGGACCGUCAACACUUACCUGGAUGGAGGAGUAGUUGCCUCAUGUCCUUUCAUCAGGACCUCCCUAAGGUGUUGUAGAGGCCUUCUUGGGCAGAGGCACUAUUUUUCUCCUCCAUUUUUGCUUGGCUUUUGCCUUUGGUUUUGAUUUAGCCUUCUUUUUGGUGUGCGUCAGGGCAAUAAUUAUAGCCAGCUCUAUAGCCAAGAUCAUUGAGCACUGCUCAACUUUUGGCUUGAAGUUGAAUUUCUCCUGGGCCCCAUUGAUGGUGAAUUGAAUUUCUUCGGCUCCAACAUCAAUAUGUGCCUUGGCAGUGCUGAGGAAUGGUCUCCCAAGGAUGAGGGGGACCUUCUUAGUUGCAUCAAAGUUCUCUUUGGCCAAGAAACUUGUCUUCGACCAUGAGGAUCUCAAGUUGUCUCCAUGAAUGAUCUCAUGACUUACCCAUAGAGAUAUCGAUGUUCUUGCUGUAGGGGUUAGUCCAAAAGUGCAACCAAGUUCCAUGCAAGUAUGUUUGGUUCAAUAAUCAAACUUAACACCAUGUCUUGUUUGAUUAAGGUAGUCUAUUUAACCUAAGCACCAUGCUUAAUUUAAAAAGACUAUGGAGGUACUCACUCGAGCGAUUACUAUAACCAAACCAAAGCAUACUAACAUAGAAAGAGGGAGCAUGAUAGGAUGAACAAGAUUCAUUAUACUAGAGACAAGAUAAUGAGUGAUGAAGACAAGAGGCAAAUAUUUUUUCUUUUUAUUAUUAUUAUUUUUUAAAUUUAUAUAUGCAAGGCAAUGCAAAGUGGAGGAUGAAUGCAUUUAAACAAAUAUGUUGUGGUUAAAAUAAAUGAGUGAUAUGCAUGAACAUCUAGGCUUUAGCUUUUUCCUAUGGCGUGGCCCAUCCAAAGGACAUCAUCAUACCGACUAUUAAAGCCGAUAUAUGAGCCAGGAUGUUCCCGUUUAACAUUCGACUACCACAAGCUAGAUUAGGAGCCCGAAUAGGUAGACAACAAUAAAAUUGCUGUCUAUCUAGACUAGGCAUGAUGCCCGAAUACAACUCAAUGACUAGGAGCUGUUGACGGUCCUUAAGUACUAAAUUUAACCAUCAACUAAACAUGGAAAAGGAUCAAUAUGCACCAAACAUCUAGAAUUAGGGUUUUAUCUGACAGAAUUCCAUGAGCUUUGGUGUUUGUCUAUUUCUGUAGGGGGUUAUCAGAAAAUAUGGAGAGAAGGCCCACAUGUAUAGUUUACAACGAGAUAAUUACCUGCCGCACAAUUUUCCUCAAUCAAGAAGAGUCCAGCAGCCACGGGAACGAACGGGAGGCAAGGUGACCAAUCAGGGCAGGUCUCACGGAUCGUGCUCCACCGCCUCUAAUCUUCAAGAAUAACUGUGCGAUUAAGGUCGGUUUGAUCCGACGGCUCACAUUCAUUUGAGGGGGCUAUAUAAGCAAGGCCUCUCCACCCCAAGGGGAGAGGAGAAAUCAUUAUCAGAGGAAGCCAUCAAAGUUAGGGUUUUAGAACUUCUCUCUCGCAGAGAAUUAGAAUUAGCUACUCACAAUUCCUUCAAGUUCUAUAGGAUUGAUUAGAUAGAAUUAGAGAAGUAGAGCCUAGCGCUCUGGAUUCGGAUCUUCAUCAAUAAAGAUUGGUAUUAUUUCAUAUCUUUCUCUACUACUUUAUUCUAAUUGCAUUAUGUCUAUAUUUAUUAUGUUCUUAGUUUGCUCUAGUUCUAUAUUUGAUAUAGUUAUGAUUGAUAAUGAGUUUAUGUAUAAGUUUGCAAAGCGCUUAGCUAUUGACUUGAGGGAGUUAAGUGGUAGAUCAUAUGUGGGUGUGGUGCUUAGAUAUUAUUUACCUGCAAAUGUAUCCUAUUGGCUGGGACGUGUGGUAGUUAGCGAUGGUGACAGCUUCGUUCAUUAUUAUAUAGUCCACCCUCCGUUGAUAGGACAGGCAGAAUUUGUAUUGCGGAGUAAGUAUUGCUAUGUUCUGAUUUACUUUAGCAAUGUUCCUUAUACAUGAAUAAAGCGUCUUUUGUGCUAUAUAUGAUCUUGUAGAUAACUAGAGUAGAUUGUGACUUAGUAGAUAGUAGAUACUCAGAAUCCAUUCUCUAGCUAAUCCGAUGUCACCUUACAUUUAUGUGGAGUAGUCUAUUUCUAAUCGUUGUGUUAUUUACCCAUGAGCUUAUAUUUCAUUAUCUUUAUUAUUAUGGGUUACCCCCUGCCAAAGCAACUGACUGUGUGACGAGUUCCUCAUUAGUAAUCAUGUUAUUGCAAGUUUAUCUCUAGUCUAUGCCUUGAUACAUUUUACCCCUGUUUUCACUUUCGCCGUUCUCUUAAGCAAAAUAUAAAUAACGAUACCCGGAAUACUUUUCCUGGUGAAAUCCUACAAUGAGGUAUUUUAUCUGUGCGCUUGCGGAUAGAAUAGAUUAUUUUCUAGAGAGCCUCUAUAUUCAUAAAUACCUUUGUACACUCUGGCACCAUGCUGGGGAUGACAACCUAGUAUCCAAGUGGUGUUAGUAAGUGUCAACAAGCAUUUCUGGCGCCGUUGCCGGGGAGCGGUAAGGAAAGUCAGGAAAUCAGUCAAGGUUGUUCACAUAAAAAUAUUCGACUAGACUAUGGAGAAAUAAUUGCAUAAACAGCUACUAAAUGAGAAAUCAUAACAAGGCACCUCUGCUUUGGCAGGUUCACCCUGUUGUUUUUCUAUGUUUAUAUUUUUUAUACAGGGUGUAUCAGGAUUGACUUUGGUACAUUCAACUCUUCAUCAUCAGAACCAAAGCAAUCAAGAAAGAAAGAAGAAGCUACCUACCAAUUGCUGAAGCUGUGGCACAAAAGACCUUGCAAGAAUUCUCUGCUCCAAGUCUUGAGAACAUUCCAAUUGGUCCAAGAUUUGAAGUAGAAGAAGGAGCACCCGAGUUCGAGCUCAAGUCGAGCCUCAUCAAUUUGGUGCAAGCUACAAAAUUCAGUGGAAGGGCACAUGAAGAUGUCAGUGCACACUUACAGAAUUUCUUAGAGAAUGGAAGCACAAUCCGCAUCAACGGAGUCGAUAAAGACAUCAUACUGCUUCGCCUCUUUCCAUUCUCACUAGAAGGGAAAGCGAGGAAGUGGUUCAACACCCAUCAAGAUAACAUCAACAACUAGACGAAUUUGUCACAUGCCUUUCUAGCAAAGUUUUUCCCUAUAGGCAAAACAACUGCCUUAAGAGGAAAUAUUGUCAGAUUCCAAUAGCAGAAGACAGAAACCAUUCCAGAAGCAUGGGAGCAUUUUCAAGGAUACAUAUCAGAUUGUCCUCACCAUGGAAUGGCCAAAUGGUUACUUAUGCAGACCUUCUACCAUGAAUUAACCCAAAAGGCUCGUGAGUGCCUAGAUGCAUCUGCUAAAGGAUCAUUCUUGGAGCUUACAAUUGGAAAAGCAGAGACGCUUUUGGAUAAGAUAUCAGAAAAUCAAAGCUGGUUCCAAGAUAAAGCUCAGCAUUGUCAUCAGACUGAACAAAUACGAGAAGAAGUAAAUGCACUAUCAAGCAAGAUGGAAAAUUUGCUCCAUUGGAUUGACCAGAGGGCCAAGUUUAAGGAAGAUCAAAGGGCCAUUGAGACAGCAUACAAAUAUCAACCCACUUCGAGUCAACCCAAUAGCAAAGGUAUGAAUUCAGGUAACACUUUCAAGCAACUUUCAUUAAAAGAGAUAAUUGCUCAACAAACCAAAACUAAUGAUGAAGUUACACAAAGGCUAGAUAAAAAUGAAUUAUCUCUAAAAGAUAUACACGAUAAAAUGGAUUUUCUAUUAACUGCCUUUGAUGAGCAAAACAUUCUUAAUAAGAGGGUGGAGCUUAAAUUAAUAAAGCUAGCUGCUGCAUUGCCUGUUGCCACUAACAUUGAGCAGGUAAAGAACAUAACUACUAGAGGAGGCAAAGCCACCAGGGAUCCCCCAUACCCCAAAAAGAAAUAGAAAACAAAAGCAUCAGUGCAACCAGCAGCGAUAGAAGAAGAAAGCCCAAUUGAAGCAGAAGAUCUGCUACAACCACCAAGAGCUGGAGAAAUGAGGAAAAAUUUUUACGACACCAACUAUUUGCCAUUUCCCAGAAGAAACAGAGGACUGCAGUCGGAUGAGCAGUUUGGUAAGUUUGUAGAGGUCAUUCAGAAAUUAUAUGUCAACAUACCUCUGCUUGAUGCCAUACAGGUACCCACAUAUGCAAAGUACAUCAGAGAUAUUCUUAACAAGAAGAGACCACUGCCCACUACUGAGGUCAUCAAGCUAACAGAAGAAUGCAGUGCGGCCAUCCUCAACAAACCACCAAGGAAAAAGAAGGAUCCAGGAUGUCCCACCAUUGAUUGCUCGAUUAGAAACCAUGUUCAACAAUGCACUUUGUGAUCUCGGAGCAAGUGUCAGUGUGAUGCCAGCAUCAGUCUACAAGAAGCUUGAGCAUACAACCCUAGAACCAACAUCAAUGUGCCUGCAACUAGCAGAUCAGUCAGUUCGACACCCGAUGGGCAUCGCUGAAAAUGUCCUAGUCAAGAUCAGAGAUUUCCUUGUGCUAGUAGACUUCGUGGUACUGGACAUGAGUCCUGACUCAAAAGUGUCCAUCAUCCUUGGAAGGCCAUUUAUGAGCACUGCCAAUGCCCACAUUGAUGUCGGGAAAGGAGAAAUCAAGUUCAACAUAAACGGAGAAGAAUAACACUUCACAUUCAAGCCCAGACCAGAGAGAGACUCUACAGUGAAGGAAGUUCAUGAAGAAGAACCACUAGAGACACCAUCUCCAGAGGAAGGUAAUUCAGAAGAUUAAAAGAUUUUGAGGUCCGGCUUGGGGGACCUAAAAAUCCCAAACCCUCAACGAGAGGUAAAUCGGUAUUUAUCCACAUCAUUUAAAUUCUUGCAUAAUUAAUUCUUGCAUUAGUCAUAUUUAUUCAUAGAAUUAUUAUAAUAAUCAAAAGCCCCAUAUAAAUAAUAUUUAUGGUGUGUGACAACCCACAUUUAUUAAUUAUUGUGGAGGCACAAAAAUAUUUUUCCAUGUUCAUUUUCAAUAAGUUUCAAAUUCUCGUAGUUUUUCCUGUAUUUAAUUAUAGCAACCUUCUAGAAGCAUGACCCACAUUCCUUGGGUCCCACAUGUCAUACACCACACCUCACACACAUCCCAUCACAUUAUUUGAUCCACCAACAUAUCUCCACUCACCAGACAACUUCCACCGUCCAACCACCACCCAUGAGUCAUCUUUUGGGGUAAAGACUAAGCAAAGGAGGGAGUAGAGAAAGGGCAGCCAGGAUAGUGACUAGAAGUGGGCGCCUACCCACCUGCAGAGGGUGCCCACCCUGUCCCCCCUUCCUCCUAUAAAUUGCCACCUCCUGCCUCCAUCUCCAUCACACAAGCAUUCUAGAAAACCCACGCAGACUUCAGUUUUCGGUUUCUAGAGAAGAAGCUCUAGUAGUGAAGUGAGAAGGAGAGUAGAGGGGAAGAGAAGAGUGGAAGAGAGGUUGGUAGUUUUUGAGUGAGAACAAGGUCGAUUUAGUAAGUAGAGACCCUGCUGUCCAAAGCAAAAUUAAAAUGUUGUUUAGGGGGAAGUACCGCCAAAAUUAAAACUUGUUUCGGACGACUAACCCCUGAACGACUGACAUUUCAGACAGCUGGCCUUUAACAUUUUCCACUAGUUGUGUUUGUGUCAACUUUUGUCUACAGGAUGUUCAAGAAGGUGAAGAAUGCGGGCAAGACCCUCAAGAGCAUAGGUACAAGGAGUUCAUCCCGACUCUCCUCGCAUCAAUCGGAGAUGAGCGUCGACCCGACGCCCUGCAAGCUCCACCGUCUUCGUCAGGUAUGCGAGUCAAGGUCCUCCUCAAGAUAGGAGACCUUGGACUAAAGACCCGCAGGGAGAAGGAAGUUUUCUAGUAGCUAAAGAACAAGGAUUUCAUUCACACCCCCACUCUUGAUCCUAUCUUGCUACAAGAAACAGGUAUGGAUACCGAAUUUGACUUGAUUUUCCAGAUGGUGGAAUGGACAAACUUUUGGGACAUAACUAAGCUAGGUUCCCAUCUUCUCACCCUUGAAUUUCUUUGAACUUUGCAAUAUUAUGAGGGGGGAAUCGCUUUUCGGAUGUUCAAACAGGACAUUAUGUUGUCUUAGAGAGAAUUGAGAGACCAUCUCGGUUUCUCUUCAAGAUGCAUCCUGGACAUUGACUCCGACUUACCCAAUUUUGAGAGGCACUAGUUCUGGAGAGAGAUAUCUAGAGAUGAGUUUUAUAGUCAAGCCCAAACCAGCGACAUGGAACACCCCACUCUUAGGAUGUUCCACAAAUGGCUCGGGUACAAUCUUUUCCAUCGUGAUGAUAUUAGGAAAGUAAGAGUAGGAGAUUUACAACUUCUUUAUGUCGCCAUAAACAAAAUACCCACUUCACCUAUUACUCUUUUAGUUUCUCAUUGGCUUAGUAUACCUAGUCUUCAGGGACCUGUCGGUUGUACUUCACUCAUCACUCGUCUAGCUUCUAGUCUUAAUUUACUAGAAAACUCGUCAUUGGAAUUCAUUGACGAGUUACGAAUUUAUCAUGGCUAUGACACAUUUAGGCAAGCUCGGAUGCUGAAAAAAGAGGGGAACGUAAUGUAUAUGUUAUACGAUAAUAAAGGCAAGAUUCGGUUACCUAACCUGAACCUUGGUCUCUAUCUCGUUCAAAAUUAUUUGAUUGAGAUUGCAGUGGCACCGGUAAAUCAGAGAGCUCCACAGCGAGUGGCAUCCGAAAGGAUGACCACCCAUCAAGAACGCACCUGGUAUGGAGCUGAUUAUGGGCCGAAAGAAGCUGCGCACCUGCAUUAAUGCGACUACAACCCCCGAGUCCUUCGGGACCCAUGGGUUCGACAUGCUCAGCCGCAGGAGCCGACACAGGAGACAUGGCCGGAGGGCCAAGAUCACCAGUGGGCAAACCCGCCUUUUGGUGCGGGGAGGUACUCCACUGAUCCAUAUGGAGCUUCAGGGUCUAGGCCCCGGCCCCAAUUCGAUGCAGGACGGUACUGUGACACCUCUUAUGCUUUCACGAACGACUACUACCAAGACGCCGGCGCCUUCUUCACCCGUACCGACAACACCCUCCUCGACAUCCAGAAUACGCAAGCGGAACAUGGACGACUCCUGGAAGAACAGCAGAAAUGGAACCAGGACCACACCGCUGCAGUACAAGAACUGAGGCAAGACACUACUUCAAUAAACGACAACAUCACCACCAUGAUGCGAUUCUGGAACAUUGGGUAAGACUGACAACCGCAUCCAGCUUGGGGGAGUUCCUCCCUGUUUUAUCAAGUAAGUUUUUAUUUGUUCUGCUUAUUUAUUCUUUUUUGUUUUAUUUAUUUCAAAAAAAAUCAAAAUCAUCAAUAAAUAUUUUCUUGCUUUAAUUUACUGCAUUCUAUGAACAUGAAAACAAAAUAAAAAGAGUGUGUGGAUAAGUGUGCUUUAUUUAUCUGCUAAGUGUUAAUCUCUAGAAAAAUAAAAAGUCCAAAAAGAUGCAUAAUGAAAAUGAUGAACAGUUGCUCUGUUUGCUUACUUUCAAGUACCUAGCUUUUACAUUAGAGUUCUCCCAAGAAUUACUAAAACUGAAAUUUACUAUCUAUGGGAAGCAUAAACCUAAAACUAAAGUCUAGGUAAGAGACAGACAUGAUAUAAAGUUUGAGCUGCUAUUUAUCUUGUUCCUACUACACUAAGUUCUGGAGAUUUAUUUUGAAAACUUAAAGAUCACAUGAUGAGUUCCUAGCAUGACAAAAUUCCUACCACAGCCAUACUUGCUAUAAUUUCUACAUCUUUUGCUACUUAUAUUCACAUUGAGUUUGAUCGAGCUAUGUAGACCCUUAGGAGCAUUUCAUGUGGUUAAAUUAAGAUAUUCACUUGCACACAUCUACUACACCAUCCACCACCAUUCAUUAAAAUUACUAAAAAUAUUAUUACUCAUUGUCCCAAGUGUUGUUAUUCUCUCUCUCUGAAAAGAUUCAAUGCAGAAGAGGCAUGGGUUAUGCAAAAAUAUGCGAGGAAAUAAAAAGGGGCAAGUGCCCGGAACCUCGAAAAAGAAAGAAAAAGAGUGAGACGAGAGGUAAAAAUGGACAAGUGUCUGGAGUAGAAUUAGGGGUACAAAGAUGCCCACCUGAGCGGAAAAAUGGACAAGUGUCUGACAGUAGAAUUAGGGGUAUUCACUACCCACCUGAAAAAAAGGAGAAAGAAGGAAAAGAUAGCCCAUGUUCUCUCGAAGCAAAGAUCAAAGAGGAGGAGAGAUAGCAAUAUGAGGAGCAAUGAGAAGUAAGUUUUACCAUUACUUAUAUUUUCAACAUUACUAUCAUUUACUCCACCACACAUGCACAUCUUGAUUUAAUUACAUGUUGAGUUCCUUUGGAUCCAUGGCUCGAUUAGACAACAUAUGUAUGAGCUGUUUUUCACACCUAUGAGCUCCACAUAAACAUUCCCUUAGUUAUAGGUAAGAGACAUUUUUCGUAAGGAUCCACAAAUACCAUAUGUAGAGAUAUUUGAGAGUAGCAUAGCUGGGAACUCUGAGCUUUAUUUUUAAAAACAUAUGCAAAACUCCAGAACAAUGGUGAAGUAUAGACACGAAGAAUAGUGCUUGACUUAAUUAUUUUGUCUUUCGAUUACUAGACUUAAGUGCAGGUACUAAGCUCCAUGAAACUUCACUCUAAUCUGGGAGAAUUUUUAUGUGAAAGCAUGUGUGCCUGUCAGGAAAGAAAACAUCGAAGCAACUCCUGAUCCAUCUGAGUUUAGCUGUUUGCUCAGGGACGAGCAAAGGGUAAGCUUGGGGGAGUUUGUUGACGGUCCUUGAGUAUUAAAUUUAACCAUCAACUAAACAUGGAAAAGGAUCAAUAUGCACCAAACAUCUAGAAUUAGGGUUUUAUCUGAUAGAAUUCCAUGAGUUUUGGUGUUUGUCUAUUUCUGCAGGGGGUUAUCAGAAAAUAUGGAGAGAAGGCCCACAUGUCAGGUUUACAACGAGAUAAUUACGUGUCGCACAAUUUUCCUCAAUCAAGAAGAGUCCAGAAGCCACGGGAACGAACGGGAGGCCGAUCGGGCCUGGGGGCAGGGCGCCCGCCCUCCCCCCUUGGGCGCCCGCCCUACCCUGGUGACCAAUCAGGGCAGGUCUCUCGGAUCGUGCUCCACCGCCUCUAAUCUUCAAGAAUAACCGUGCGAUUAAAGUCGGUUUGAUCUGACGGCUCACAUUCAUUUGAGGGGGCUAUAUAAGCAAGGCCUCUCCACCCCAAGGGGAGAGGAGAAAUCAUUAUCAGAGGAAGCCAUCAAAGUUAGGGUUUUAGAACUUCUCUCCCAGAGAAUUAGAAUUAGCUACGCCCAAUUCCCUCAAGUUCUGUAGGAUUGAUUAGAUAGAAUUAGAGAAGUAGAGCCUAGCGCUCUGGAUUCGGAUCUUCAUCAAUAAAGAUUGGUAUUAUUUCAUAUCUUUCUCUACUACUUUAUUCUUAUUGCAUUAUGUCUAUAUUUAUUAUGUUCUUAGUUUGCUCUAGUUCUAUAUUUGAUAUAGUUAUGAUUGAUAAUGAGUUUAUGUAUAAGUUUGCAAAGCACUUAGCUCUUGACUCGAGGGAGAUAAGUGGUAGAUCAUAUGUGGGCGUGGUGCUUAGAUAUUAUUUACCUGCAAAUGUAUCCUAUUGGCCAGGUCGUGUGGUAGUUAGCGAUGGUGACAGCUUCGUUGAUUCUUAUAUAGUCCAGCCUCCGUUGAUAGGACAGGCAGAAUUUGUAUUGCGGAGUAAGUCUUGCUAUGUUCUGAUUUACUUUAGCAAUGUUCCUUAUACAUGAAUAAAGAGUCUUUUGUGCUAUAUAUGAUCUUGUAGAUAACUAGAGAAGAUUGUGACUUAGUAGAUAGUAGAUACUCAGAAUCCAUUCUCUAGCUAAUAUGACGGCACCUUACAUUUAUGUGGAGUAGUCUAUUUCUAAUCGCUGUGUUAUUUACCCAUGAGCUUAUAUUUCAUUAACUUUAUUAUUAUGGCUUACCCCCUGCCAAAGCAAGUGACUAUGUGACGAGUUCCUCAUUAGUAAUCAUGUUAUUGCAAGUUUAUCUCUAGUCUAUGCCUUGAUAGAUUUUACCCCUGUUUUCACUUUCGCCGUUCUCUUAAGCAAAAUAUAAAUAACGAUACCCGGAAUACUUUUCCUCGUGAAAUGCUACAAUGAGGUAUUUUAUCUGUGCGCUUGCGGAUAGAAUAGAUUAUUUUCUAGAGAGCUUCCAUAUUCAUAAAUACCUUUGUACACUCUGGCACCAUGCUGGGGAUGACAACCUAGUAUCCAAGUGGUGUUAGUAAGUGUCAAUAGGAGCUACCCAAGAAAGCACUAGAUUUAUGCAAUAUUAAUCAAACAUGCAGUGGAAAGGAUAAAAAGAAAAGAAAGGUAAAAGAAGGAUAACAUGGACAACUUGGUUCUAAGUUACAUCAGCUACCGUUCCCCGGCAACGGCGCUAGAAAUGCUUGUUGACUCUUCUUAGUGUCACUACCUAGGAUUGUCAAUCCUUGGCACAGCACUUGAAAUGCUUGUGUGACACCAGAAGUGGCAAACAGUUUUACCACAGGUGGACGGUGGUCAAUGUAGCACUUCACCAGGAGUAUUCCAGGUAUCGUAUUUUCCACGAGGAACGAGAAGUGGACUAACUAGACCAAUUGAGUCAUCGGAUGAUGAUCAAAGGGCUUAGGAUUGGGUGGAGAGAUAUUUCUAGUAUUUGGCUUCUGGCUAAGCUAUCCUAAGUAUACUGAGAGUUAACUCCCUUCCUACUGUGGCCGAUAGGUGAAAAGGGUGUGGCGAAAAACUUCCCUAGGCAACUACCAUGCAGGCCAACUAUUAUUUGUUACUUGCCUAACAACACACUAAAGAGAACUCCUAAUGUCCAGCUGAGGCCUGACAUGCUUUGUUGUUGGCAUUCUUCAGGUGUGACAAGAAGUCCACAAGGUCAGACUUAGUCUAGACACCACAUCUACACUAAUUCUACUACUCUAGACCCAGCUAAGGUUUCGAGCACUUCACACAAGGCAAAGCACUGUGCCAGUAGGCCAGUUGUAUACUUAAAAUAAACUAAGAUAGAAAGUAAAUACUGGAAGUACUCACAUGAAAGGCAACUAGAAGGAAGACUUACUAGAAGACAAGCAUCUGCUGAGGCGCUCCUGGAAGAAGACACCCGACAAGUCGGGACUCCUCGGGGAACUCCUCACUCUCUUCCCUCUAUUCUCACACUUACCUAAGAGUAGCUCUUCCUAAGAUACAUCAUGCUUAACUAGGCUCUCUAAGGGUGUAUUUAUAGUAGGAGGUGGAGUAGGGGCUACUCCCCUACCACGUUAGCAAUCUACGUGACCUCCAGCAUGCACCAUUGGAUAAACCGACCUUGGAACCACCAUAUGAUCAACGGUUAGGGAUUUCCAUCACAUGUUCAUCAUGGGGACGUCGGUUGGGUGUAACCGACCUUAGGUGGGCCCACAUCACAUGUCGAUCGACCUGACAUUUUGUGAGGUGGGGCCACCCUGAGCCUUCUAGAAGGUCCUAGAGAUCGGUGGAGUGGAGGUGGCAAGUAGGACCCAACAAUGGCCAGUCGACCGACUAAGAUUUGGUGAGGUGGGCCCACCAGCCUUGCUCCAUUGCUGUCCCCAUCUGUCAUGGAGUGUGUCUUGUGUUCAUCUUCGGUCUGGGUUCUUUUGGUGGGUCCAUGGAUCCUUGUACCUCCAUCUUUUACCCAUGAAUAGAAACACAAGUGUGAUCUGAGGGUCGAGAUGGACUUGAAUGUGUUGCCUUAGGAUCCUAGAAUUGAGCCCGCACCUGGACCACCCCAAGAGUAGGUCGGCCGACCUGCCCUUGGUGGGUCCAGGAGCUCAUUUUCCCCCAAAUGUAAGUGUACCUGCAUCCAAAUACUUAGAGCACAAGUGGAACCUCUUAGUGAUAAAAGAUGCCUAUGCUAUGCCAUUCUUCCACUAUUUCCGGCCUAUUGAUGGUGUUUUCAUGUGUGGAUUUUAUAGCUUAUCCACCGUCAACACAUGGCUGCAGUCGAGACUCCACGGAAGCGCCACAAGACGAUGGCCCACUUGGAGAAGGAGCUAGCUAAGCAACACACCAUAAUAGCCUCUCUUGAAGCCUACCAACGUGUCCAAAGUAGAUGUGUCACUUAUGGUGAUACUAGAAUGGUAACGCUAGAGCAUGAUUCUACUGCUCUAAAGGAGAGAAUGAGGGCUUUAGAGAACCCUAAGAAGUAGGGUCUAUUUAUUCUAGCAUCCGAAGGGGCGAGUGUUAGUUUCAUCAAAGUGUGUUUGAUUUUUACAAGUUUUAAUAAGCCCUGCAUGAAUAUGAAUUAAAUGAUUAUUAUAUAUAUGUCUUGUCUCUCUAUUGUCUCUCUUUUGUCUCCACCAUGUUGUGAAUGAAGGAUAACAAGAAACUAGUGUGGGGGAGACACCCGACGAUCAAAACGAACGAAUUCCCAUGAAAAGUUAACAAAAUUAGAGAAGACAUGACACGAAGACCACGCUCGACGAAACUAACCUUGAAGGGCCACUGGCCAGGGGCACCCGCCCCUAACUUGCUUGGGCGCCCGCCCAGUGGGUGAAGCCCCCUGGUCUCCACUUCGAACCACGGUCAGGUAUGAUUUCUCUAAGUUAUAAAUUGUUAUUAUUGUUGUUGUUUCAAUUUGGAAUAAAAUACCUUUAGUUAAAUCACCCUGUGCAUAAAUAACUAAAAUAUGUUUUAUUCAUAGCCACAAGAUAGACUUACACCAUGAUAAUUCCUAAAAAUUCCUGUUGUUAUUGGAACUUUAAUAUAGGGACCCAUAUUACUUAAGUUGUUGUGGAUAGAGAGAUAGUAUGAAUAUGAGAACUUGAUUUCUGAUGCCUAGUCAUUUGGAGAAUUUUACUUUUCAAAAAUCUUAAAUUGAUUAGCUAUACUUCUCCUGUGGGGGUAUAAACCCCUAUACCCUUACGGCUAGACUUGGUCCAGGAGGCUUGGCCCAUCACGAGGACACCUCGAAGCUUGAUCCGACUGCCUGGAGUUUCGCGCAAGGAAACAAGACGUGGAGAUCAAGCAGGAUUCUAGUCAGUUAGAAUAAGAAUUGAUAUCGAACUAUCCAUGGCAAUUGUAACCGACUAGGAUUAGUUUCCAGAUCUGUAACCCUGCCCUCCGGACUAUAUAAGGAGGGGCAAGGGACCCCCCUAGGAUAUAGGAUUCUCUCAACACAAAUCAAUACAUCCAGACGCAGGACGUAGGUAUUACGCCAACUCGGUGGCCGAACCUGGAUAAAAAGCUUGUCCGUGUCUUGCGUCACCAUCGAGUUCGUAGUUUGCGCACCGUCUACCGAUAAACUACUACCAUGGGUAUACCCCAAGGUAGACUACCGACCAGCUUUCGUCGACAGUGGCGCGCCAGGUAGGGGGUGUGCGUGCAACUUCUCCGGCGAACAAGAUGGUCACAAUCCGAGCUUCCGCGGCCGUUCCUGAAGGCCUCACGUUCACCGUCGGCCAGAUCACGUGGACGAUGCGCGGCGGUGGUCUCACGACUACGGUUUCAGAAGGAACCCAGAUCCAAUCUGGGAUCACGUCGGCUCCGACCACUCGGGUGACGGCUCUGAGCACCCGACCACCAUCCCCGCCCUACAAGGGAAAGAAGAUCGACUGCUCAGACCUUCUCCGGGCACUUGACCGCGCCGAUUCCAGGCUACUUGAAGCUUCCCAGCUUGUAGAUGGAAUCUUACGCCAGCCUGAUCAAGCCGCCUCAACGGAUUUUUUCAAAUCCCCCCGGCCAACUCGUGUCGCUACACACAAACGGCUGGGAACGUCUCUGGCGAUAACCUCGACUCCCUCAGGACGAUCUGUCAAGAUCAAGGUCAACCCGGAGGAAGAUUACCCUCGCGGUCUGAAUAACUCGGCCUCUCUCUACUCGAGACACGUCCGAUCCCUCUUUAACAAAGCUGGUUGGGUGCCAAAGGGGAGUGGUCGACCAGCUCGACAUUAUGUCAACAUGGUAACGAUCCAAGAAUUAUGGGACGACCAGGCUUCCAGCACAAAUUCGAGCACUGGUUCCGUUUCCACUGAAGUCAUAAAUUCCGAGGACGAGGAUUACGACUUGGAUUUCCCGUCACACCCUCCGGGUUUCCCACGUUUCCCGGUCUUCCCACCCCGGCGAGGAGACAUCGUUUUCAACGUCAGCGCCGACGAGCCGGUUGUUGACGGAGAAACAGACGAGCAGAGGUAGCUCCGCGAGCAGCGUAAUGCCGAUCGCGCCCGACGACGUGCGGACGAGGAACGUCAUAUCCCGCCGCAGAAUCUCAGCGACGCUUUUGACAUGGUCGGAGAUCAGCAAGUUUACAAAACGCCAAGCGCCAAUGUAGCUGUUGCUAUGGCUAAUCUAGACCGGCUCCCUGAUACUCCUGAGUGCCAAGGGGUCCGAACUAGUGUCCGAGCACACCUGAUCGCCGCGAUGGGACAAACAGCCACUCUGCUCAAAAGAGUCCAGGCCGUCUCCUAUACAGAGGCCGCCUCCGACCAGACUCACCGUAGCCGGACAUCACCGCAGCCCAGCAGGCACCAUCGCAGCCGUUCCCCCGACAACCAUCGAACAGAUUCACGGCGUAAUGUUGGUGGUCGGGACACUGGCGGUCAACGUGAGCAGAAUCGCAGGCGUGACCAAGAAGUAAACCAGCACAGGGAUCUUCGAUAUAACAUCCCUCCCAAAGAUGCCCGGGACCGCAUCAACAGGCAAGCCACGGAAAGAGCAAUCCACGAAAACCUGUGCCGUAUCGAGUAUGAUGCAACGCACGGCCCUCCGGGCCUGAGACAGUUCUCCUCACACCUCCGCCAGGUCGUGUGGCCCCGCAAUUUCAAACUCGAGAAACUCAAAAAGUACGACGGCAAGGAAAACCCAGAGAACUGGAUCACUCUCUACAAAAUCGCCGUCCGAUCAGCCGCAGGGGACGAACACGUCAUGGCCAACUACUUCCCAGUAGUCCUCGACCAGGCUGGUCAUCAAUGGCUCCUUGGCCUGCCCGAGGACUCCUUCGACUCUUGGGAAGAGCUACGCGAGGCUUUCAUCGACAACUUCAUCGCUACAAGCGAGCAGCCUUGAAACAAGUACGACCUCGAAAGGAUAAGGGACAGAAAAAAUGAACCUUUGCGCGAUUACAUCCGACGAUUCUCGGAUAUGCGCCUUAAGAUCCCGAAGAUUUCCCACGACAAGGCCAUCUCUGCCUUCAUUAAAGGCCUGCGCUUCCAUGAAGCACUGAGGAACAAGCUGUUGCGCAAAAGGCCAACAACGAUGGCCGAACUCCUUGCCACGGCUAAAAAUUACGCCGAUGCUGACGACGCAGAAAAACUAAUCCGGGACGAUGCGAGAGGUCCCGACCAGCCUCCCCGGCGAGAUGACGGUCGCGGCCGUUUCGACAACAGGAACCACCGCCGCCCCGACAACCGUGAUCACAGAGAAGGUUGGGAUAGGUGGCGCGACAAUCGCGACGAUUUCAGAGGAAAGCGCCCCCGCGACCACGACCACGAAGUGAAUACGGUCAAGCAUCCCAACGGGCGACGGGACUACCAAGAAGCCUACAACAAAACGUUGAAGGGACCGUGCCAACUGCAUCCAAAGUCUAAUCACACCAUGGAAGAGUGCCGCGUCCUCAAAAACAUCUAUACACGCCGGGCCGCCCAAGACGACUCCGCCAAGAAAAAUGGAAAACGGGACGGGCAUGACCACGAAGACGAGGACGAGGACCAAGACAAGGACCCCCGACAUCAAUAUGUCAGUCCCACCGACGUGGUCCACUCCAUCUUCGGAGGCAAGGUCUCCAUCGAAUCUAAGCGGGAAUGAAAGCUACUAAAGAGAGCCUGUCUCAACAUAGACAGCACCGAUGGUCUGAUCGCAGACCCAAAAUUUCCCCCAUGGUCGCAUAGGGAGAUCUCCUUCAGCAGGAAGGAUCAAUGGGCUGCUAUACCAGAGCCAGGUCGUUUCCCUCUAAUCCUGGACCCUUGCAUCAACAGCAUCUGGUUUGAGCGCGUCCUCGUGGACGGAGGAAGCUCCAUUGACAUCCUCUUCCGCAACAGCCUGCCCGCUCUCAAGAUAUCUCCGGCACAACUAAAGCCCUAUGAUGCUCAAUUCUGGGGAGUUUUGCCAGGUCAGAGUUCAGUGCCCCUCGGACAGAUAACAUUGCCUGUCCAAUUCGGCACCCCCGACCACUUUCAGACAGAGUUCAUCAACUUUGUGGUCGCCGACUUCGAUGGGACCUACCACGCCAUACUGGGCCGACCAUCGUUGACAAAAUUUGUGGCGGUCCUGCAUUACUCAUACCUGGUCCUCAAAAUGCCUAUGGAGAAGGGCGUCCUGACCGUCAGAGGCAAUGUUUACACCGCAUAUACCUGUGAGGAAGAGAGCUUCAAGAUCACCGAAGCAAUUGACCUUUCAAUCCGGAUGGCAGAAACAGCGACUCAAGCCGCACAGCUGCCUCCCAACCAACUCCGACUACCCGAGCAGGAGACCGCCAGGAAGAAUUCAAAAUCCAAGGAGCACAAAGAAGUUCAACUGGUCGACGGCAGCCCCGAGAAGACGGCUCUCAUCGGGGCCGAUCUGGAUCCCAAAUAGGAAGACGCGCUCGUCAGGUUUCUAAGGGACAACAUGAGCGUUUUCGCAUGGAAACCCGCAGACAUGCCCGGCGUCCCACGAAACCUGAUCGAGCACUCCUUAAAUGUCUCGAAGACCGCAAGACCAAUCAAACAAAAGCUGCGACGGUUCGCUCGUGACAAAAAGGAGGCUAUUAGGACAGAAAUAACACGGCUUCUAGCAGCCGGAUUCAUAAAAGAAGUGUAUCAUCCCGAUUGGCUUGCCAAUCCGGUUCUUGUACGCAAAAAGAAUAAUGAAUGGAGAAUGUGCGUUGAUUACACUGAUCUCAAUAAGCACUGUCCUAAAGAUCCCUUUGGUCUCCCUCGCAUCGACGAGGCGGUCGACUCAACGGCCGGAUGCGAACUCCUCUCUUUUCUAGACUGCUACUCUGGUUAUCACCAGAUCUCGCUAAAGGAAGACGAUCAGAUAAAAACAUCUUUCAUUACUCCUUUCGGCGCCUAUUGCUACACGACCAUGUCAUUCGGACUCAAAAACGUCGGAGCCACUUAUCAACGGGCCAUCCAGCAAUGCCUCCACGACGAGAUUCGUGAUGACCUCGUCGAGGCCUAUGUCGAUGACGUGGUCGUCAAAACAAGGGAUGCAAGCACCCUAAUCGACAACCUAGACCGAACCUUUAAGGCGCUUAAUAGAUACAAGUGGAAGCUUAACCCCAAAAAGUGCAUUUUCGGUGUUCCUUCUGGUCUACUGCUCGGCAACGUUGUCAGUCGCGACGGCAUACGGCCGAAUCCCUCAAAAGUAAAAGAAGUACUUGACAUGCGACCACCCAAUAAUGUCAAAGAUAUUCAGAAGCUCACCGGGUGUAUGGCCGCACUCAGCCGCUUCAUCUUAAUACUAGGAGAAAAAGGCCUCCAUUUCUUCAAACUCUUGAAGGCGUCGGAAAAGUUCUCCUGGACAGAGGAAGCCGACGCAGCGUUCACCCAGCUUAAGGCAUUCCUCACUUCCCCGCCUGUUCUUACAGCACCUCAGCCCAAUGAAGACAUACUCCUUUACAUUGCUGCAACCGACAGGGUUGUCUCCACGGCAAUAGUGGUCGAGCGAGAUGAGCCAGGUCACGUUUACAAGGUCCAGAGACCCGUUUACUUCAUAAGCGAAGUCCUAAACGAGUCCAAGGCCAGGUAUCCACAAAUACAGAAGCUCAUGUACGCUAUUCUAAUAAUGUCAAGAAAGCUGAAGCACUACUUCGACGGCCAUCGAGUCUUGGUAACCACCAGUUUCCCUCUUGGGGACAUUCUGCGCAAUAAAGACGCCAACGGCAGAAUUGUAAAAUGGGUGAUGGAGUUAUGCCCAUUUUCCCUGGAAUUCCAGAGCCGCACCAUAGUCAAGUCUCAGGCCCUGGUCGAUUUCAUUGCUGAAUGGACGGAUCUCAACGAGCCUCCCGUUCCCGACGUCUCUGACCACUGGUCAAUGUACUUUGAUGGGUCCUUGAACAUCAACGGCGCCGGCGCUGGGAUACUCUUCGUAUCGCCUAACAAGGACAAACUGCGUUACGUCCUUAGGAUCCUUUUUCCGGCAUCAAACAACGUCGUCGAAUACGAAGCAUGCCUGCACGGCAUAAGGCUAUCCAUUGAGUUGGGAGUCAAACGCCUCUAUGUCUAUGGCGACUCUGCUUUAGUUAUCAACCAGCUCAACAAGGAGUGGGACGCGACCCACGAGAAGAUGGAUCUCUACUGCAAAGAAAUUCGCAAAUGCGAAUCCAACUUCUACGGCAUAGAGUACAUCCACGUGGUCCGGGAUAAGAACCAGGCAGCUGAUGCGCUGUCAAAGUUAGGGUCAUCUCGGGACCCGAUCCCGCGGGGUGUUUUUGUCCAGGACAUCCAUGAGCCAAGCGUGGGCUCUGGCCUGGUCGAAAAGCAACCCACGGAAACCAUGCUCAUAGACGACGCCACUCCGACAACCAGUGGUCGUGAUUGGCGUACCCCGUUCAUCAAGUAUAUAUCAGAUGGGACGGGCUUCCAGGACAAAACAGAGAACGAACGCCUCAUUCGACGAUCAAGGAAUUACAUACUGGUGGACGGCAAACUCAUGCGAAAAAAUGCAAGCUCCGAGGUACUACUCAAGUGCAUAUCUCAAGAUGAUGGCAUCAAACUCCUCGAAGACAUACAUGCCGGAUCCUGCGGCAACCACGCUGCAUCCACAACGCUGGUCGGGAAACCAUUCCGAGCAGGAUUUUAUUGGCCAACCGCGGUCAAUGACGCCGAAAAACUGGUCCGACACUGUGAGGGGUGCCAGUUCUUCGCUAAAAGGACCCACGUACCUGCUCACGAGAUUCAAACUAUCCCGUCAUCCUGGCCUUUUGCCUGCUGGGGACUCGACAUGAUCGGGCCAUUUAAACCGGCCCCUAGCAACUUCAAGUUCGUCUUCGUAUUAAUCGACAAGUUCUCCAAAUGGAUCGAAUACAUGCCGCUGGUAAAAGCGACCUCCAAGAAGGCAGUGGAAUUCCUCAAUCAAAUCAUACACAGAUUCGGGAUCCCAAACAGCAUAAUCACCGACCUGGGAACUCAGUUUACUGGCACCGCAUUUUGGGACUUCUGCGAUGACAGGGGCAUAGUCAUAAAAUACGUGUCAGUAGCACACCCACGGGCAAAUGGUCAGGUCGAGCGUGUGAAUGGAAUGAUCAUUGACGCCCUCAAGAAAAGGCUGUACACCGAGAACGACAGAGCACCCGGUCGAUGGAUGAAAGAGUUACCAGCUGUGGUCUGGAGCCUCCGAACCCAGACUAGUCGGAACACAGGAGUGUCACCCUAUUUCAUGGUUUACGGCGCCGAGGCAGUCCUACCGUCUGACAUAACCUUUGGUUCUCCUCGGAUUGAAAAUUUCGACCAGUCAACAACCGACAGCGCCAGAGAGCUCGAAAUCAAUUGCAUGGAGGAAAAGCGUCUGAAUUCUUGUCUCCGAACAGCAAAGUAUCUUGCGGCAGUCAGGCGGUACCAUAACAGGAACGUCAAGGACCAUUCUUUUGUGGUCGGCGAUCUGGUACUCAGGUGGAAAACAAGCCAGGAAGGAACGCACAAGCUAUCCACUCCCUGGGAGGGACCCUUUGUGGUCGCCGAAGUCACACGACCCACAUCCUACAGAUUGGCGUAUCCAGACGGAACACGCGUGCCUAACUCUUGGCACAUAGACAAACUGCGUCGAUUUUACCCAUAAGCUCUAGUAACUUUCGCUUGUAAAUAUCUUAUAGCUGUCAAUAAUAAAAGUUUCUCUUUUUUGCCUACACUUUGUUACACGCAGAACUCGGAAAGCCUUCUACAACGGAAGCUCUUAGCGACUACAAAGUCAAAUACAGUGGCACGUCACUCAGAUAACUCCACAGCGCUCAAAAUAGUAGUCAUGACAAAAGCAAACUUUAUUACAAACUUUACAUACAAAGUUUACAGUAAACACCCUGACGGGCGGACACUAGUCUACUUCUACAGACUAUCCUACUGGCCUACUGCUCGGGCUGAUCACCCGCCUGGCCUUGCUGCCCGGACGAAGGAGUCGGGGCCACCGGUGCCUGGCUGGUCGAGACCGCAGGCGUCGACCGCCCAUCUCCCGCAACGGACGCGCCCGACAGCUCCCUAGCCGACCUGUCUGAAAACAGCUGGUCGGGGGGAGUGGCCGUCCCACGCCCGUUGCGCCUUUUCAACUGGAGUCAAUCUCGGCGCGCGGGGCUGGCUCUCCGGCAGCUCGGGGCUGAUCAAGUCCAGAACCGGGGAUACUCCUUUCCAGAUCUUACAACAAUUGACCUUCCAGGAGUCCCGGUCCUUGACCAGCUCGUCCAAGUGCUUCUUGGCGUUCACCUUGAGCACUGCAAACCAAGCAAGAUGUUAUUUUCAACAUAUCGAAAAGAGUGAUCAGUGGCAGAUAACGGGGCGGCGCGUAUUACCAGACAACUCCCGGUCCCUCCGACCCAACUCCUCUCCUGCUCGGAGCCCGGCCUCCAGCGCACUGGCAAGCUCUUGGCUGAGCUGCUCUUUCUUCUGACGAAGGCGUGCUACCACCCCCUCCAAACCUACAUGAAUAGUCCUCUGGCCAGCGGAGUUAACCAACGCAGCUACAAGCAGCUGCCUCGGAGUGCGAGACUAACCUUCUCGCUACCAAAACUGAUCGGCCAAGCGUCGGGUAAGCUCGAGACGGUGCUCUUCCUGAGCGCUCAUCUCGGAUACUUUUUCUCCAACUUCUGACCGAAGUCGGUCCACCUCCGCGGCUAGGGCCUUGUUCUCGGCCACAAUUCCUUCGAUCUGGUCGAAGCACCGUUUCCGGUACUUCGCCGUUUUCAUCGCGCCCUGCAAGAAAAGACAAAUGUCGAACACAGGGAAAUUGCACAAAGUUAUACCAGGAGCACACAGGACCACCUACCUUAACCUCGUCCACGAGGCGCUUAGCCGCGCGCUCCACCCUCGCGGCCUCCUCCGUCUCCGCGAGCUCCUCGUGUCCAAUAAAGUGGUCCCCGCGUUGGCGCCACACGUAGACGUGCUGGCGGCCAUCACGGGCACGACCCUGGAUCUCCUCCACGUCGUCGUCAGAGGCCUCCUGGGGCUCCUCGUUUGCCGCACUGCCUCCGGCUGCGGUCGAGGGCAUCACUGGUCCCUGGUCUAGGCCAGGGGAGCCCACGGGCGAAGAAGCCCCUGCUCGGGGCGGUAACGGCACCCUCCCUUCUUCGGCUGGAGGAGUCGGGACUCUGCUCUCCCCCUCUGCAACAGUACUCGGGGGAGGGGUCCUUGCUGCCUCCUCAUCCCUCGGCUGAGUGCCCUCGGCGGCACUCGCCGGGGCAGAUUGAUCCUCGGAGCCCGCCGCCGCUGCAGGUUGCUCUGCGACCUGUGGCGCGGCGUCCUCACGGCGGCAACAGGAGCGGCCGUCCCCUGCUCUGCGGCCUGGUCGGGGUUGACGUCCGACGCCGCGCUACAUAACAGAGCGAUAUUUUCAACAACAGCUAAAAAAAAUAAAAAAAUAUGUAAGUUGAACACUUACAGGUCCGAUCGACGGUGGGUCGCGGUGAACCUCCUCCUUGCCCAGCCAGUCGGCACCUGUGCCCCCGUCUCCGCGACGCGAGGCGCAGGAGGGUCGCUGGACACCCGAUCAGCAGUGGUCGGCACGCUGUCCGGACGGCUAUGAGGCCUUCGAACCAACGACGGUGCGGCCUCAUCCUCCUCCUCCUCGUCGUCGUCGGUAAUCCGAACGAACCGACGGCACUUUGGCGCUCGGCUGCUCUCUGCCGGCAGCGUCGGCACCGGCGACGGAUCCGCCGCCAUUGGCCUUUUCCCCGUCACUCUAUCCUCAGUGGUCGGGGCGGGGCGGGCCUGGUCCUCCUCACUGCUGGUGUAAUGAGUACACCGAGCAGCGUCUUCCUCCGGCAGAUCUUCUCCCACAGGAUUCUCCAUCCCGGGUGCCAGUGACACAUACACUGUACACCGGUCAACAUCACCGAUCUGCAAAAGUAGCAAAGACAAGUUGGCAACUGACAAUAGCAAAUACUAAGGAAAAAUAAACAGUUAAAUACCUUAGGUGCUGGUCGCCCCAACUUGAAGGCCUGCACCCGAUCACUACCACGGACGAAGCCCCCGUCCGCAAAGUUGAACAACUCAUUCAAUAGCUGCUGCACCUCCGCCUUCUCCAAGACUUCAGGUCGCAUCCUGGUCGGGUCCAGGCUUCCGGCGUACUCGUACGCCGAGUGCACCCUCUUCUGGCAGGGCAUCACCCGACGACAAAUGAAGUUGCCGACCACGCCAAGCCCGUCCAAGCGCGACCAGUCGAUCAGCUUCAUGAGGUCCGCCACUUGUCCGUCGAACUCUGGGCGGUCGGUCCAGCUUACCCUCUUCUCAGGGAUGUAUCCCACGUCGCAGAACGUGGAGCUGCCCGGUUCCUCUCUGAUAUAGAACCACUUCCUAUACCAUUCGGUCAGGGAAGUGUUCCAUGGACAGUGCAGGUAGCGGUUCUUCAUCCCGUCGCGAAGGUUGAGGUAUACUCCACCUGCAACCUUGGAGCCUCCAACUGCUCCCUUUUUUCUUAAACAAAAAAGAUAGCGGAAGAGGUCGAAGUGCGGCUCUAGUCCAACAUAGGCUUCGCACAAAUGGAUAAAAGUAGAAAUAAGAAGGAUUGAGUUCGGGUGCAGAUUGCAAAUCCCGAUCUCAUAAUACAGAAGAAGACCCUGAAGAAAGGGAUGAACAGGAACCCCAAAACCCCUCUUAAUGAAGUCUUCGAAGACCACGAUCUCACCGGCACGGGGGUCGGGGAAGCUCUCUCCUUCCGGUGCUCUCCAGCAGCCGAGCUCCGAGCCGUGCAGAAGCCCCAUAUCAACAAGGUCACCAAGAGAUUUUGCGGUGCUGCGGGACUUUUUCCACUCCUUGGCCAUCAGCUCGGCCCUCUUCUUGGAGUCACUCUUCGCCAUUGGAGGUGUGAGAGCGAUUUUGAGUUUGGAAGGUGUAGGGGAUUAAAGGAGGCAAGAGUGGAAAGCUUGAAGGCAAUGGUAGGGUAAGCAGUACAAGGGGAACUGUCGAGCUCUUAUAACCCACAACUUCAUCCUUCCCACUUCCCGCAUUCUCGCGAAGUGGGCGGGCCAUACGGUGGAUGCGGCGUUUCGGUUUCCAAUGAUUAUCGACAAUUAAUGCGGCGGAGUUUUCGUACAAAUUGAUGGUUUCCUUUUCUCAAACCGCGCAAAGGGCGGCUGUACAGUUGCCAGGCGCAACUUUUCAAGCAUCCAUCUAACAUCCCGUCAGGAGGUCUCGUCACGUCAACUUUUUUCUGGAGAAAUUUUUCAAAACAAGCAGACAAAAAUGGCAGAGAGUCAACAAUCCGGGGACUGCACCGACCACCGAGCACUUGAUGCUCGGGGACUGGUCGCCCAGUCCAUUAAAUCAGAAAUUCAACGACUGCACCGACCACCGAGCACUCGAUGCUCGGAGACUGGUCGUCCAGUCUAUUAACCCGGCAAUUCAACGACUGCACCAACCACCGAGCACUCGAUGCUCGGGGACUGGUCGUCCAGUAAAGCAACACAGAACUUCAAGGAGCGCACUGACCAACGAGCAUUUGGUGCUCGGGUACUGGUCGUCAGAUUUGUUUAGACUGCUCCGACCACCGAGCGCUUAAUGCUCGGGGACUGGUCGCUUAGUUUAUUGGUUUGGAAAUCAGCAAGCUGAACUGUUUGCCGACCGUUGCACACCCGGGGACUGGUUGACCAGCUCGACGAACAGCAAACUCUAUGGUAAAUAAGCAUGAGAUGCUCGGGGAUUGGAUAAUUUCGGUUCUUUAGACCUUGCUACAAGGCUCAUACUUCGCCUUCCAGCAAGCUCGGGGACUACAUCGGUACGAUGCAUCUAGCGAUGCAUCUCACAUUCAAAGCAGCUUUGGAGAUUCUUCUUUGGACCCUGGCACCACGUGACUACGUCACCUGCUACCAGGCUCGGGGACUAAGUGGGCACACUUCACCUUGCGGUGAACUUGCUUGCCUUUUUGAUGGACUAUACUUUUCGGAAAGUAAAGUGGGCACACUUCACCAAAAAAGGAAUAUUUUUUCUCAAGAGCACCAUGCAUUCUUCGAACAAUUGGCUUCUUCGAUCAUGAAGUUAAUUGGAUGCUUUUAGAUUUGUUCAAACUGUUGUCGCAACUAUUUGGGCAAUUUUCAUAAUGAUUAAAGAUAUUAAGUUUCAUUGGUCGAAGAAGCUCAAGACGGCGUGUUACUUCACAAUACAUGGUGCUCGGGGACUAGCUGUCGGGGUAUAAACCCCUAUAUCCUUACGGCUAGACUUGGGCCAGGAGGCUUGGCCCAUCACGAGGACAGCUCGAAGCUUGAUCCGACUGCCUGGAGUUUCGCGCAAGGAAACAAGACGUGGAGAUCAAGCAGGAUUCUAGUCAGUUAGAAUAGGAAUUGAUAUCGAACUAUCCAUGGCAAUUGUAACCGACUAGGAUUAGUUUCCAGAUCUGUAACCCUGCCCUCUGGACUAUAUAAGGAGGGGCAAGGGACCCUCCUAGGAUAUAGUAUUCUCUCAACACAAAUCAAUACAACCAGACGCAGGACGUAGGUAUUACGCCAACUCGGCGGCCGAACCUGCAUAAAAAGCUUGUCCGUGUCUUGCGUCACCAUCGAGUUCGUAGUUUGCGCACCGUCUACCGAAAAACUACUACCGUGGGUAUACCCCAAGGUAGACUGCCGACCAGCUUUCGUCGACAUCUCCUCUAUAGCAAGAAUUAAUGUCCCACUAGAGACAUGCAUGAUAGAUAUAAACUAGCUCAUAGGCUACUUGCUUUGUAUUGAGUUUUGUCAAACCUUAUUGUCUUAUGUCGAGAGGAUUGUUGACGGUCCUUAGUGCUCACAUUUAACCAUCAAAUAAUCAUGGAAAAGGAUCUAAAUGCAACCGACACCUAGACUUAGGGUUUUAUCUGAUAGAAUUCCACGAGUUUUGGUGUUUGUCUAUUUCUGCAGGGGGUUAUCAGAAAAUAUGGAGGAAAGGCCCACACGUCGGGUUUACAUAGAGAUAUUAACAUGUGCGCCAAUUUUCUAUCAUCUAGAAGACUCCAGAAGCCACGGGAACGAACGGGAGGCCGAGCGGGCCCGGGGGCAGGGCGCCCGCCCUCCCCCCUUGGGCGCCCGCCGUGCCCUGGUGACCAAUCAGGGCAGGUCUCGCGGAUCGUGCUCCACCACCUUUGAGGAUCAAGGAAAACUGUGCGAUUAAGGUCGGUUUGAUCCGACGGCCUACAUUCAUUUGGAGAGGCUAUAUAAGUAGGCCCCCUGGCCCCUAGAGAACAUACCUCUUCUACAGAAUCAAAGCUAGGGUUUUAGUUAUUCAUCCAAGUAGAGAGGAUCCCUCUAGUUCAUCUAGUUCUAGUUCUAGUUCUAGUUCUAGUUCUAGUUAGUUCUAGUUGUAAUCUAGAAAAUAGGGAGAGUGAAGAGGAGAGCGGAGAAGGAGUCGGAUCUGUCGGAUCUUCCUCAACAUUGAACUUUUGCAGCAACUGGUUCAUUCUUCAUCGUUCUACAAGUUCUUCAAUUCAUAAUUCCUAAGUUCUUUAAUUACUUUUAUUUACAUUCAAGUUAUUUAUUGGAUUUCCGCUUGCAUCAAGUGCUCUAGUCUUUGAAAUGCUAGAGUAGUAAUUAAUAGAUUAGACGUGGUAUUUAGUCUUGCAAUUACCUGGAAUUACACCCAAUCCUGUGGAUUGUUGUGGUAGCCCUUGGGUAGUGACAGCCCUAACGGUCGACGUAUUCCGCCUCGUUCGGAUCGGUGUUCGUAGGACCGAAGUCAGAGCUUCCUAGCCCCCUUCUCAUCUCUUUCUGUGGUUUGUGUUCUGAUGUCUCAAAAUAAAUAAUCUUUGAAGUAAUUCUUGAUUCUUAGAUCAACUAGAGAACUCUCAGGAAACUUCCUCUCUUCCCACCAAAAAUAAUUAUAUAGUUAUCCUUGGGUGAUCUUGAAUCUUAAUUAGUACACUCACAUUCCCUGUGGAAAAUCGAUACUCUGGAUACUCCCGGGUGAAAGCUACAUCGGUAUCCGUGCGCUUGCGGAUUUUUCUGUUUGCGUUUAAAAUACCCAACAAGCUUUCUGGCGCCGUUGCCGGGGAACGGUAGUUGUGCUAGUUUCGAACCAAGUCAUCCGUGUAUCCUUUUUCUUUUCCUUUUUUUACCACCUUACCAUUUUCACCACACCACAUGGAUUUCACUCCAAGCAUUAAUGAGCAUGGAAUUUAUUUCAUAGCCACUUCGUUUACUCCAUGCUCAUAUGCAAUAUCUUCCCAAUCUAUUGGUCUCUCCAACAUCACCACAUUCGAGAUCUCCAACCCCCUCUUCCUUUCUAUUUAUAAAAACUUUAGAAGGGCGGUUGUCGAUGCAUAUGUCUAUAAUAAAUAUUGCAGAUCUCAUUGGGUUGAUAUAGGUCAGCGUUGGAGGGGAAACCACUUCGCCGACAUAAAUUGAUGGUUUCCCAAGGACAAGCUUAGUGUCCUAAAAUAAGCACUGAUCAGAUCGUAACAUGAGCUUUUAAUUAUUUGCAACAUUACCUUGUGUAUUGAGCAUAUAAGGAUAAUUGUAAAAAAUUCCUUCGGGUAUUCUUGUCACUAACCUUUCUAGGAUUGGAGCAAGAAGAUUGGAUGAAUGACAAGCACAAGGUAUGUCCAACCAAUCAUCAUACAAUAUUGAAUUAAAUUCAUCCAAACUUGAAUUUUGCAAAAUUCAAGCUUGGGGGAGUACUUUACAUAAAAACAUCCUUUGCCAUGUUGCUAUGUUGGUUAUCCCUACCUUUGAGACAUGCUCAAUUUGUUAAAUACUAAUCACACUACUUCAUCUCCACUUGAGUAGAUCUAUAUAAAUGCUCUCAUGCUACCUUUAUUUGCUUUAGUAUAUGUCUAGGUUUGGAGUAGUUUCAUUUAUCUCUUAAUUAAGCAUGGUGUUUAGCUUAGGAAUGAUGAUCCUACUUCUAAGGGAUUUUAAAUUAAGCAUGGUGCUUAGGUUAAAAUGCCCUCCUAAAUCAAAUUAGACAUGGUGUCUAGGUUGAUUUUUGAGCCGAUAGUAUGCUAUAGUAGAUAUUGGAUAUUUUGUUGGACUAACCCCUGCAGGAAAACUUUCAAUAUCUACCUGGGAAGUCCUAAGAUAAACUCACAUUAGAGACAAAGAGAGAGACACAUGAAGGUUAACAAUUUACACAACGAAGGCAUAGCUCACUAGAGAUGAUCCAUGGAGGGUGCCACAAACACGAUGCACAACCGCUAAGAAAGGAAAGCUUCCACAAGGUGAUACUAUACCAUCACUCUUCAAGUAAGGUAACAUCUUAAGGUACUUGACUAUCACUUUUAUAAGCUUCUUCUUGGUUCUGGCAUUCACAUGAACAAAAGAGAUAAACAUGUAUGAUUUACAACUCUAGAUUAACCAACCCAAUUGAUUCAAUAUGUUUAGUCCUUCCACCUUUGGGAUCCCACACUCCUAACCAUAUGAGCUAAAAAUGUUGCACACGCAAUCUUUGGAAGGUAUAUAUAAAAAAACAUAAGUAUAGAUAGAUUUCCAUUAGGUUGAGCGAUCUGAUCUGACAAAUGUUUUAAAUGCUACACUCAUGAUCUUAUUAUCCAUCAACUUUGUCGUGCUCACUAUGCUUAAGGUUAGAGAAGAACAAAUACACUUUUGGUUUUGUUGGUGUUUUCCACCAACAGGGCCCAUGCACUUGAUCUCUGCCUUGUCUCUAUGAGCAGGUACACUUCGAGCAAAAUAUGAAGGAGUUUUACAACUCCUAGACUCCACCAAGUGAAGAACCUGGAUCUACGAGCACAAACACACUGGAGAUACUGGACACUCAGGCAAUCACUGCCCUAAGAUGCUUGAGGACGUAAACUACAUCAACAACAACAACUACUACUACAACCGUCCUCAACAAAUUCAUGGUUGAAAUCAAUAGAGGCCUAACUACUCAGGUAAUUAUCAAGGUAAUAAUUCUUACAAUAAUAAUAAUAAUUUUCUACCUCUGAGAGAGUUAGUGUCUAAUCAAGGAAAGCUAAUGGAUAACCUAUGUAAGAAAUUGGCAUCUAAUGAUCAAAUGUUAGAAAAUAUAAAUAAUAGAAUGGAUAAUUUCUCUACUGCCAUCAAGAAUCAAACUAGCUUUAAUAAAAUGAUUGAAUCUCAGUUAAAUCAAAUAGCUGAUGUUGUUCCUGCUACUAACCCCGGUAUACCAUCACAACCGGAAGGAUUAGAAUCUGCAAAUCUUGUAGACAUGUUUGAUGCAGAUAACUACUGGAGUAACCCCGUUGUGGAAGUAAUUACUGACCUUCUGCCGGUCAAGAGAGGCGAUCUAGGACGCCCCGUCAUCCUGAUCUCCAUCGACAUGGUGGACUUCCCAGAAGCACUCUACGACUUUGGCUCCAACGUCAACAUUAUGCCAGGGUACUCUAUGAAAAAUUCUUUACAUAUCCUUUACUAGAAACAACCAUGUGUUUGCAGCUUGCAGAUCGGACACUAAGUUUCCCAAAGGGAAUAUUGAAGAACCGCUGUGUCUGAGUUGGUACCUUGUACGCCCCAGCAGACUUCGUUGUGACAGAGACUAGUACUGAUGAGAGGGCACCCAUCAUCCUAGGGAGGCCAUUCCUGAACACCUCGGGAGCUGUCAUCUACACUAGUGCUGCCAAGAUCAGUUUCUACAUCAAGGGGAGGAAGAAGACGUUUUCCUUCAAGAACAAGACUACACAAAUCUCAGAGUAAUCCCGACAUGAACCAAGGAAGAGGACCAAUAGGAGGAACAGGAACAAGCAAAUGUGGACUGAGUCAGCUAAGAUGGUCACUGCAGUUCAAGGAGGUCAAGAUCGUCGACUUAAGUCACCGUUCCUGACCAAAAAGGAUGACCCAGGUAUGCCAAGCAUCCAGUGCUCCAUUAAUGGAUACGACUUCCAGAAGAAGCUUUGCGACACCGGGUCAGGCGUCAACAUAAUGGCCGCAGUCACCUAUCAGCUCCUGUUCGGAACCAUGCCCUUAAAACCGACAUACAUUCAGCUCUAGAUGGUAGAUCAGACAUUUCGAAAGGUUGAAGGUAUAGUAACUGAUGUCCCUGUCAAAAUAGACGAUCAUUUUGUCCAUAUAGAUUUUCAGGUUAUUGACAUGGGAGAAGACGAGUACGAUCUACCCAUCAUCCUUGGGAGACCGUUCCUCAGCACUGUUAAAGCAAUCAUCUACAUUGGAACCGGAGAAGUCCACAUGCACUUCCCCUCUGAGAAGGUACGCCGCUAUUUUACUAACCCUAACUAUAUAGUUGAAGACUCUAAGCAGGUCAGGACAAGAAGAAGACGACGCAACCACAACCAAAGGAGGCAAAUCAUCAAGGACAGAUGGGCAGACUACGAAGGAGAAGUGGUAAGGUCUGAAGACAUACAGCUUGAACAGAACUGUCCUGAGGAGACCGUAGCACCGAGUCAGGUGUGGAGAGAGAAGAUAGUUAUACACGAAGAGGAGGCGCUGCCGGAACCACCGACUAUGCCAUCCAGCGAAUCUCAGGACGACUAAGAAAGCGGAGAGUCCCGUUCUGAGGACUUAAAAACACCGAACGCCUUGUAAAGAGGUAAACUUGGUAGUUAUCCUUUUCCUUUCAAUUAUUUAAAAUAAUUUGCUUAGUUAAUCAGGUUCAUAUCAUCUUGAAAAUAAAAUAAAAAUGUUAAAAAUAGUAAGCCCCAUGUGAGUAUGCUCAUGGCAUAAAACCCAUAAGUACAUUCACUGUGGUGGCGUCAAAAAUAAAAUAAAAAUAUUCUUCUGCUCUAUAAAAAAUGAAAAUAUAAAAAUAAAAUUGUGAUCCUACCAAAGAAAGUAGCAUUUAUUGAGGAGGCUCAACAUGAUAAAGGCUAGAUAUUUAUGAUAACACCUAAUCAGUUCCACAAAGCUUUGUUGUCUAUUUGAGCUCCACAGAAUUCAAGGAUCAAAGAAGACUAGCAGACGGAGGACAUCUUAAUCGCUGUUAGGGUGCUGACGACAUUCAAAUACACCUCCGCCACCUGCUAGCUACAUCAGAAGAAAUUACGUCAAAAUCUAGCUUGGGGGAGAGCACCCCCAUUUAUCCAGCUAAGUGUUCUACUCACGUUUAUACUUUACUCAAAUAAUAAAAGAUGCAUAAUCAUAAAAACCCAAAUAAAGAUUUUGUGCUUAUAUAUAUAUCUUUGCUUAGGUUGCUAAAUAAAUAAAUAAAUAAAGUUUGCUAUGAACCCUGAUGAUAUGCUCUCACAUGGAAAUGAUGAAUACUUGCUCUGCCAUAACUAGUUCUCAAAAUUGAAAUCUCUCUCAAGUUUAGGCAUGACGGUUAUUAAUUAAGAUUUGCUCUAAACCUAAACUUGUGGGAAGAGUACUUGAUCUAAAGUCUAAGUCAUUAAUGGAUAAGAUAUUGGAAGGUUGAGCUGCUGUUUAUCUGUUCCUAGAGAUGCUAGAAUUCUGGAGAAUUUAAUCUUUAAAAUGUUGCAUGAUGAGUUCCUGUAUGAUGAGAGUUUAAAAUCCUACCACAGCCAUAUAUACAUGCUUAUUAGACUAUGAACCAUACAUUUACUUUUUACUGGUUAUGAGCAUUGAGUGUGGUCAAGCUGUGUAGACCCUUAGGAGCUUGUCAUGCGGUUAAAAUCAAGAUUCACUUGCACGUUCACUCAUACAUGCUGCUUCUACUCCGAAAGUAUGCAUCCACAUACAUCCACUCAAUUCCAUCUCCAGAUUCACCUAAAACUAUUCUAUUCCUACCUAGGAGAGAAUAGCCAAAAACAUUAUCCUAUGCCUGUUAUUCCCCGUGAAAUAAAUGCUCAAGAUAUUUUGGUUACUACCACUUGCUACAUUAUUCCAGGAGGGUGAGUGCUCUGAAAAAAAAGAGUGAAUACGAGGAAAUAAAAAGGGGCAAGUGCUCGAAACCUCAAAAAAAAAAGAAAAAGUGAGACGAGAGGUAAAAAUGGACAAGUGUCCGACAGUAGAAUUAGGGGUACAAGAUACCCACCUGAGAGAAAAGAAAAAUAAAAUAUAGAGCAUCUCAUUCCCCUCAAAAGACUCAAGUGCAAGGAAGGUAUGUACCCCCUCAAAAGAGCAAAAGUAGAAUUAGACUUUCACCAUUAUUUUCACCAUUAUCACCAUUCAUUCGCCACACAUGCACAUCUUGAUUUGACUUAUUGACUUGUUCUUUUGGAUCCAUGGUUUGACUAUGCAAUAAAUGUCUUGUAAGUAUGUAUUAGUUGUCUCCCACCUAUGAGCUCCAGAUAUCAAAACCUUAUUUGAGUAGGGUGAGAGAGAAGGUAAUGCCACUAUGCCUCAUACCAAAAAUACCACAUACUUUGAGAGAAGGCAUACACCAUUACUGCCUUGGUAAGGAUCCAGAAAUACCACAAAAGAGAGACUAGAGAGAGUCAUAUAAGGAAUCUCUGAGUUUUAUUUGAAAAUCUGCAAAAACUCUAGAGCUAUAGUUAAUCGAAGAACAAGAGACAUGGCGCUUGACUAGACCGUUCUAUCUUUUAACUGCUCAAGACACAAGUGACGGUUGCAAGCCCCAUGGUGGAAGGAAAAAUGAGUAAGUUUAAGUCUUAACAAUUUACCCUAACCCAGAGAUGAGAUCUUGUUUGAACGCAUGUGUACCUUUAAGGCAUGAAACCACUGUAGAAACUCUUGAGUCCAUCCUUGCUCAGGGACGAGCAAAGGUUAAGCUUGGGGGGCUUGUUGACGGUCCUUAAUGCUCACAGUUAACCAUCAACUAAUCAUGGAAAAGGAUCUAAAUGCAACCGACACCUAGACUUAGUGUUUUAUCUAACAGAAUUCCACGAGUUUUGGUGUUUGUCUAUUUUUGCAGGGGGUUAUCAGAAAAUAUGGAGGAAAGGCCCACACGUCGGGUUUACAUAGAGAUAUUAACAUGUGCGCCAAUUUUCUAUCAUCUAGAAGACUCCAGAAGCCACGGGAACGAACGGGAGGCCGAGCGGGCCCAGGGGCAGGGCGCCCGCCCUCCCCCUUGGGCGCCCGCGCUGCCCUGGUGACUAAUCAGGGCAGGUCUCGCGGAUCGUGCUCCACCGCCUUUGAUGAUCAAGGAAAAUCGUGCAAUUAAGGUCGGUUUGAUCCGACGGCCCACAUUCAUUUGGAGAGGCUAUAUAAGCAGGCCCCUGGCCCCUAGAGAACAUACCUCUUCUACAUAAUCAAAGCUAGGGUUUCAAUUAUCCAUCCAAAUAGAGAGGAUCCCUCUCGUUCAUCUAGUUCUAGUUCUAGCUCAUCUAGUUCUAGUUCUAGUUAGUUCUAGUAGUAAUCUAGAAAAUAGGGAGAGUGAAGAGGAGAGCGGAGAAGGAGCCGGAUCUGUCAGAUCUUCCUCAACAUUGUACUUUUGCAGCAGCUAGUUUGUUCUUCAUCAUUCUCCAAGUUCUUCAAUUCAUAAUUCCUGAGUUCUUUAAUUACUUUGAUUUACAUUCAAGUUAUUUAUUGGAUUCCCGCUUGCAUCAAGUGCUCUAGUCUUUGAAACGCUAGAGUAGUAAUUAAUAGAUUAGACGUGGUGUUUAGUCUUGCAAUUACCUGGAAUUACACCCAAUCCUGUGGAUUGUUGUGGUAGCCCUAGGGUAGUGACAGCCCUAACGGUCGACGUAUUCCACCUCGUUCGGAUCGGUGUUUGUAGGACCGAAGUCAGAGCUUCCUAGCCCCCUUCUCAUCUCUUUCUGUGGUUAGUGUUCUGAUGUCUUGUAAAUAAUCUUUGAAGUAAUUCUUGAUUCUUAGAUCAACUAGAGAACUCUCAGGAAACUUCCUCUCUUCCCACCAAAAAUAAUUAUAUAGUUAUCCUUGGGCGAUCUUGAAUCUUAAUUAGUACACUCACGUUCCCUGUGGAAAAUCGAUACUAUGGAAUACUCCCGGGUGAAAGCUACAUCGGUAUCCGUGCGCUUGCAGAUUUUUCUGUUUGCGUUUAAAAUACCCAACAAGGAUUAUCAUGCUCCUAAGAUCAAGAUCACGUACACCCACAUAUAUCUGCCAUUCCUACACUAAGAAUGCGCACAAACAUGCCUUUCCAUCCACCAAAUUUGUUUUACUCCUACAUGGGAGGAAACACAAAAAAGAGACUUAGUAGGAAUAAUUGCUCUAAGUUCUUUAAAAAGCCUUUCUCAAUAUUUUUUGGUUACAGAAGGAGGUAUGAGGCUAUGCAAAAUAAGAGUAUUGAAAAAAACGAGAGAAAAGAAAGAAAGAAAAAGGACAACUAUCCUAGAAGGAAAGAAGAAUAAAAGAUAGCACAUAACAUGUUGUACAAAGACCAUCAGUGCUUUAGAGAAAGAAAGACAUUUUCAAAAGAGCAAUGUAGAAUUAGGAUUAGCCACUAUAUAUUCUAGACACAAGAAUCAUCAUCGUCAAUGCAACAAUCCCCAAGGCCGCUCUUGACCGUGAGCACGGCUAAUAUACUAGUUUUUAACACUCUGCAGAGGUUGUACAUCUUUACCCAUGAGUCAUGAUUUACCCUUUCGCCCGAGGUGAUCAGCCUCUUAACCCACUUCCAAGGAAGGUCGGCAGGGAUCACUAUGAAGCCUUUCAAAAGUUCGUCUAACAUGUUAGGGCCGCAAGGUUUCCUUUGCGAGCAGAUAUAGAUACCCCCCUUCCGAAUGGCACAAUGACGCGCAGCCUAUACACAUAGGGACAGGGGCUCACACUAUACCCGUGUUCAGCCCCUCCGCCCUUUCGGGUAACCUCUAAAAGGCUAGAAAAGGUCUUCAUAGUGAGCUAAAGCCAGAGCCAUUAUAGCCCUCAUGGUUGCACUGUUGUCCCGGUGAUCACUUACAGACAAGAUCUCAUAUAGUUAUUUGUCAUCUUUUAACGUUCAUUGCAUAGCUAUUAAUCAUCUUACAAGAUCAUGGAUUAUAUCAAGCACUAGCACAUCUACACCAAAUGCAUAUCAAGUAGGUAGCAAGGAAUCCAGAUAACAAUCAUCUAUGAUUUUGCUAAGGUCGACAAGGUGAAAGCAUGCAUAUGAUAUAUAUGUGUAUUUAUAAGUGAAUAGGUAACAAGGAAGAUCCCAAGUUAUACUUGCCUUCAUCCAAUUGCUCUUGCUGAUCUUGCUAACUCUGCUGGUCUUACUAGUUGUCCAAGCUCUGAUCUUGAUCACCAAAAACUGCUCUCCGUCUAAACUCGAUCAUCGAUCACAAACAUACGGCAACAAGCAUACACGAAGCAAACAAGGCUACAAUUAGAACAGUACACCAAUCAUAUAAAAAUAGUAUGAAAAGUUUAUAAAAAGAUUCUACGCGUUGCUACGUUCAUACGAACGUAAAGAUCACGAAAAUCGGAAUUGAAACGGAGAAGUUAUGAAUUUUCUAAGAUUUUAUAUAGAAAAGUAAUUAAUUAAUUAAAGUCACGAAAUUAAAAAGUUUCAAACUGAGAAAACAAUGCUACUAACAUGUAGAGCUCAUUAAUACGAAUCCAACGCAAUUUGAAUGGGUCAAAACGGAGUUAAGAUGAAUAUUUUAUGGCCAAAAAAAAGUCAGUGGCAAUUCUAUAAAUAAUGAAAACGUAUUUUUAAUCUAAAACCGAGUUGUUUGUGUUUUCCAAACUGAAAGACAAAGUGAUUGGGGCUUACGUUGGUGGACAGAGAGUAGGUUCACCGGCAGUGACGCUUUCUUGGAGCUACAGCAACGCCCGAGCAGCCGACCGUUCGUAGAUGUCGUGUAUAGGCGAGACGAUGGCGAUCACGUUGUAGAGAAGAAAAUAUAAAUUUUAUUUUACUACCUUAGGAAUUCUCAAAUUAGAAGCUUCCUAUAUGAUAGUUUUUUAAGUGCUUUACCUAAGGGGUUGCUACACAUAUAUAGAGAGAAAAACUCCCCACCUCUAUGUCAACUAGCGAUAUGGUACUAACUGAUUUGCAACCUUCAUCUUUACUAAUAGGCCUAAUUAAUUAUUAAAUCCCAUUAGUAAAUAAAAAUAUGGUCUUGGGAUUUAUUAUGAUUAUUGUAACUGGGCUUUGACGUUAGAAAAUAGUAAUAGAUUUAUUAUUUUCGAAAUUAAUUAUUUUCAUGGAUAAAAUAAUUCUAGAAAAGUCCAGAAUUAUUAUUUAAACUAUGAAAAAUAUUCUAAAAGCUCUGGAAAUUCGGAGAAAAUUUUCAGAGACAUUAUGGAAUAUGAGAAACUCAAAUAACGUAUUUGGACCUCAUGAUAAGAUAAUUUGGGGCAUCUAAAAAUUAGAUUUAUGCUCAUAGAAAAGUGAAAAUAGAAGAUGGAAAAAUUCCCGAAAAGUUUGUAGAGAUUGCUUGAUGGACGAGGAACUAAAAGAAGUGCUUUGAGUGACAAAGAAAAGAUUUUAGGAAGCUCCUAAUAAAAAAUUGAGCUGAGAAACAAGGAAUUUGGUUAUAGAUAAAGAUAAAGACGUACUGGUCAAGGAAGAUCGAUCUACUAAUCGCAUUUUAAAAACUUUGCUCACUCAACACAUAAAGGAGCAACAAGCAUCACAUCAAAACAUAUGCACCAGCAUGUAUGCAUAAUAAUAUUGCUAAGCCUUCUGAUAAAUUUUAAUUUAAAGAAAAUUUUAUUUUACUAUAUUUUCAUGAGUACAGAAAUACAAAAUAAAUUAUUUUAUCUAUAUUUCAAAAGGAGUUAAUUUUAGGAUGUUACAGAUAAGCUAAGUUUUUCUUUAUAAAAAUAUUAUAAAAUUCCAAGUGACAAGGCUAAAGGAAAAGAGAACUCUAUUUUUGUAUUGUUCCCUCUUCAUCUUCUCAAAGUUCUAUGGUAGACACUUUGAAUCCCACAAUACAGGUAUGAAUUGGAAUAAAUUUGGUGAUGUCUUGGUUUUGAGGUUAUGAUUAAAAUAGUCUACCUAUCAUUUUCCUCGAGGACAAGUAAAAGAUAAGUGUGGAGGAGUUUGUUGACGGUAGAUAACUCCUAAUUUUAACCGUCAACUUAACAUGAAAAAGGUAUUUGCAAGCACUCAUUAGAUAAAGGGUUAUCACUAACAAAAUUCCACGAGUUUUGAUGAUUGUCUAUUUCUGUAGGGGGUUAUCAGAAUAAUAACAAAAGAAGGUCCACAUGUUAGAUUUACAUAGAGAGAAGACCAGAACGUCAACUCAGGAACAAUCUAGAAGACUCCAGGAGCCACCACCUAGAAGAUGGGACCCACCUGCCAUAGGGCAGGGGCGGUCGCCCGAGGCUCUCCACCAAUCGGAGUGAACCUCGUGGAUCCUGCCUCCAUCGACUUUGAGGAUUAAUCUUAAGCGCACAUUUAAGUCGGUUUGAUCCAAGGGUUGUGGUGAUUCCUAGGGAGCUAUAAAUAAAGACCCUGCCCUCCCCCCUUGAGAUGUAACUAUAAAACCGUAAUUCAUAUUUUUCAGAGAGAGUUAGACAGAGAGGGUGUUGACGGUCCUUAAGUAUCAAAUUUAACUAUCAAAUAAACAAAGAAAAGGAUCCAAAUGAAAUCAACAUCGAGACUUAGGGUUUUAUCUGACAGAAUUCCACGAGUUUUGGUGUUUGUCUAUUUCUGCAGGGGGUUAUCAGGAAAUAAGGAAGAAAGGCCCACACGUCGGGAUUACGUAAAGAUAUUAACGUGCCGCGCAAUUAUCUUACAUCUAGAAGACUCCAGAAGCCACUAGACCGAAGCGGAGGCGAAACGGGGCCAGAGACAGGGCGCCCGCCCUAUCCUACUGGGCGCCCGCCCACCUCCUGUGGCCAAUCACGCUCAAUCUCGCGGAUUAUGCUCCACCGACCUAAAGGAUCAAGAAUAACCGUUCAAUCAAUGUCGGUUUGAUCCGACGGCCCAGGUUCACUUGAGGGGACUAUAAAACCAGACCCCCUGGCCCCUGGAGGAGGCACCCCUUGAUCAUUAUUCAUUAUUCAUAGACAGAGCAAAAGCUAGGGUUUAGAGAUGAGAGCUCUCCUCUCUUCUCUAAACUAGAGUAGAUCUAGAUAGUAGCGAGAUGGAGAGCGAAGGAGGAUUAGAGGAGAGGCCGGCCUGUCGGUUCUUCCUCCGGUUGUACUUCGCCAUGAUCAAGCUCUAAUCAAGCUUGCUCAUGGGAUGACUCUGGUAAUCUGCUUCUAAUUCAUUAUGCAAUUACUAAUCAUGUAUGUUCUGGUUCACAACUCUUUUGAGUACUUCUAAUCUAUAGGACCCUAUAGGUUAGAGUUGUAGUAUAGGUGUAAGCGUGGUGCUUAGACCUAGAUUACUUGUGGAUAUCCCCUGACUAGCUGGAUCGUGUGGUAGGCCGCGUAGGUGACAGUUACGUUGGUCCCCUGUAGUCCACCUCUCGUUAGCAAGACGGGUAGGGUUUAUCGGCCUAUGGAUAAGCAUCCUUUGUGGUGUACUCUUAUCACGUGGUUCAUCCCAGACAUAGACAUACCCCUUUGAAGUAGAGAAACCAUAAUUAUCCUCUCUAUUCUGCUACCAUCGCCCAUAUACUAGAAUUGAUCUACUCUCUAUUCUCAUAUUAUCACUCACUGUUAUCUUACCUUUAAUAUUGUUCUUAUUUGAUUCUACCAUCUUUCCUAUUCACACCUAUUUACUUAUCUUGGUUAAGUUAGAGCGUGAUCAGUUCUCCCGUUUCCCUGUGGAUACGAUAAAACCUUUAACCGGGUAAAAGCUUCAACGGUAUCCGUGCGCUUGCGGAUUAUCUGUGUGCGUAUAAAUACCAUAGUACACUCUAGUGCCAUGCUGGGGAUGACAACCUAGUAUUCAAGUGGUGUUAGCAAGUGUCAACAAGCAUUUUUGGCGCCGUUGCCGGGGAAACGGUUGCUGAGUUGACUACGAACUAGUUUAAUCAUUUUAUAAAAAAUAAAUAAAUAAAAAAAAUAUUUUCCUUUUAUCCUUUGCCUCAUCUCUGCUAUUCUUUCUUCCUAUCUAAUCCUUGAUCUCUGGUCUAUUAUGAAUUCAAAUAUGUCUAUCUAUGAAUUUCAUAGACCUAUGGGCACACAUCUCGAACCACCAAAAUCUUCAAAGCCUAUCAUAGCAUCUAGUUUUGAGUUAGACCCCGAAUACAUAGAAUUUAUUCAAAAACAACCUUUCUCAGGAGAAGGUAAGGAAAACCCAUACACACACCUAAGAGAGUUUUAUCGAGUCUGUGACCUCCUUCGCAUAGAAGGCAUGUCCGAUGAGACCCUUAAAUGGAAGCUCUUUCCGUUCUCUUUAACGGGAAAAGCUAGACAUUGGUAUAAACUCAAAGUAGGGAGUGUUCAUGGAGAUUGGAAGGAGUUAUAUAGUAGUUUUCUUUCUAAAUAUUUUCCAAUCUCCAAAGUGGUGGAACUUCGGCGUGAGAUUCUUUCUUUUAGACAAUUGGAAGAAGAAUCUCUUGGCAAAUCAUGGGACCGCUUUAUUAACCUUACUCUCACUGGCCCAAAACUUUCUAUUCCAGAAGAAGUUCUUCUAAUUCACUUUUUUGAGGGCCUUAGUAAGGAAGAUAAGCAAACCCUUCAUGCGGCCUCUGGAGGAUCUUUCCACCACCUAUCCGCUAGUGAAGCUUGGAAUUUGAUUGAUUUAAUGAGCGAAAAGUCUCCUAGCUUUUAUAUCCCUGAGAAAGAGAAAGAACCAGUUCCUAGACAAGAAGAAGAAGUUUCGAUAGCCAGAUUACAACCACUUCAAUCCCAAACUUUAGCUAUCGAUCCUAAACCAUCAAUACCCCAAAAUUCUCCAAGGGAGGAAGGAAUUCCGACCUUAAAUCUUUUAGAUGCUGAUGGUUUAGACUUCUGGUUCUAUAAGAGACCUUCAAGCAGGGAUAAUUCAAAUCAUUGCAAUAAUGUUUCUCUUAGAGAAUGUCCUGGUUCCUAUCAUGAAGAAGUCGAGGAUGACAUAUCAAGUGAAGGAGAGCUAAGCCAUAUAGACAAUUCUAUCUACUCCCCUUCCAUGUUCACAAGUUCUAAAUCCAUCCUUGACCUUAGAGAUCCCUCUUAUCCCUCUUCUUUUCAGUCUCAUGAUGAUCCUAGCAAUUCACCAAGACGACCAAACCAUAGGAGUCAUGAAGACCAUAAGGAUGGCAUGUCAAGUAAUGCCAUAGAAGGAGAGCUAAGCCAUAUAGAAAAUUCUAACACCUCCCCUAUUUUGAUCACAAGUUCUAAAUGGCUAGAAUGUGUAGAAUGGAUGGAUAAGGAAGAAGCCUUAAUGGGUUCUGACUUUGGCUCAAUUUCAAAUAGUGAGUUCUUGACUCCCUUUGAGGACGAGAUUCAUCCAACUAUAGAAGAGGACAUAGGUGAGACCAAUCCAGAAGAAACUCCGAACAUUCAGAUUGGAGACGAAGAUAACAUUAAUGAGCAUGGAAUUUAUUUCAUAGCCACUUUGUUUACUCCAUGCUCAUAUGCAACAUCUUCCCAAUCUAUUGGUCUCUCCGACAUCACCACACUUGAGAUCUCCAACCCCCUCUUCCUUUCUAUUUAUAAAAACUUUAAAAGGGCGGUUGUCGAUGCAUAUGUCUAUAAUAAAUAUUGCAGAUCUCGUUGAGUUGAUCUAGAUAUAGGUUGGCGUCGGAGGGGAAACCACUUCGCCAACAUAAACUGAUGGUUUCCCAAGGACAAGCUUAGUGUCUUAAAAUAAGCAUUCAUCAGAUCGUAACAUGAGCCUUUAAUUAUUUGCAACAUUACCUUGUGUAUUGAGCAUAUAAGGAUAAUUGUAAAAAAAUAUUCCUUCGGUUAUUCUUGUCACUAACCUUUCUAGGAUUGGAGCAAGAAGAUCGGAUGAAUGACAAGCACAAGGUAUGUCCAACCAAUCAUCAUACAACAUUGAAUUAAAUUCAUCCAAACUUGAAUUUUGCAAAAUUCAAGCUUGGGGGAGUACUUUACAUAAAAACAUCCUUUGCCAUGUUGCUAUGCUGGUUGUCCCUACCUUUGAGACAUGCUCAAUUUGUUAAAUACUAAUCACACUACUUCAUCUCCACUUGAGUAGAUCUCUAUAAACGCUGUCAUGCUACCUUUGUCUAUUUACUAGCAAGUGUUGGUUUGGAAGUACUCGCCAUACUUCCAUUGGCAUUUAAAUUAAGCAUGGUGCUUAGGUUAAAUAGCCUUCCUUAAUCUGAUUAGACAUGGAGUCUAGUUGGGUUAUUGAACUAAAAAAAAACUGCUUGAGUAGAUAUUGGUAUAUUUUGUCGGACUAACCCCUGCAGAAAAACUUUCAAUAUCGAUUUGGGAAGUCCUGAGAUAAAUUCACAUCAGAGACGAAGAGAGUGACACAUGAAGUUUUACAAUUUGCAGAAGAAGGACAUAGCUCAUUCAUCAUAGAGAGAUGAUCCAUGGAGGGUGCCACAAACACGACGCACAACCGCUAAGAAAGGAAAGCUUCCACAAGAUGAUACUGUACCAUCACUCUUCGAGCAAGGUAACAUCUUAAGGUACUUGACUAUCACUUUUAUAAGCUUCUCCUUGGUUCUGGCGUUCAUAUAAAUAAAAGAGACAAACGUGUAUGAUUUACAACUCUAGAUUAACCAACCCAACUGAUUCAACAUGUUUAGUCCUUUAAUCCUUGUUCUUAGUACUACCUCCAUGAUCCCACACUCCUAAUCAUAUGAGCUAAAAUGUUACACAUCAAUCAUUGAGAGAUAUAAAGAAAAAGACAUAUACAUAGAUAGAUUAUUUUUCCAUAAGGUUGAGCGAUCUGAUCUGACACAUGUUAUAAGUGCUACACUCAUGAACUUAUCAUCCAUCAACUUUGUCUUGCUCACUAUGCUUAAGGUUAGAGAAAAAGAAAUACACUUUUGGUUCUGUUGGUGUUUUCCACCAACAGGGCCCAUGCACUUGAUCUCUGCCUUGUCUCUAUGAGCAGGUACACUACGAGCACAAACACACUAAGCAAGAUACUGCUAACACCUCACUUCGAACUGCUGGGCAAACGAAGAACAUGGGUGACACCGUAUUAAAAGGUGCAGACGUCAAGGUCCGCACCUGAAUCAAAUGACGCACCUGAAGAAUGAAUACACUGAGAAGUCUUGUCAAGAAGACUUAAAACAUAGAACCCUUGCCGAAAGGUAAGAUUGGUUGUUAUCCAUAUUUAUCCUUUCUGCAUUCCCUUUUCUAUUUAAUUAUUUACUUUCCUUAAAUAGACUAUUAGUUAAUCAUGCUAUCUUGAAAAGAAAAAAAUGUUAAAAAAAUACUAAGCACUAUGUGAGUAUACGAGUGGCAUAAAACCCAUAAGUACCUUCACUGUGGUGGCAUAAAAAUAAAAUAAAUAUUUCUUUUCUACUUUAUAAAAUAAAAAUAUAAAAACAGGGAGUAAUAUUUAUUGAGGAAGCUCAACGUGAUGAAGGCUAGAUAUUUAUGCUAACACUUAAUUAGUUCCACAAGCUUUGUUGUCUAUUUGAGCUCCACAGAAUUUAAGAAUCAAGAAGACUAGCAGACGGAAGACAUUCUAAUCGCUGUCAGAAUGCUGCUGACUUUCAAAUACACCUCUGCCACCUGCUAGCUACAUCAAGAGAAAUUACGUCAAAAUUCAGCUUGGGGGAGAGCACCCCCAUUUAUCUCGCUAAGUAUUUCUACCUAUCUUUUGCUUAGUGUGUUUAAUAAAUAAAUAAAGUGGCUAUGCUAAUCUGAAUCUUAAUAAUAAAACUCUAGCAUGGAUAUGAUGAAUAGUUGCUCUGCCUAAUUUGCAAAUUUGAAGUUCUCUCUCAAGUUUAGACAUAACUGUUAUAAUUUAAAGCUUGCUCUAGAUCUAAACUUGUGGGAUGAAAACUUGAUCUGAAAUCUAAGUUGUUAACGGAUAUGAUAUGGGAAGGUUGAGCUGCUGUUUAUCUAUUCCUAGAGAUGCUAGAAUUCUGGAGAAUUUUAUCUUUGAAAAAUCUUUAAAAUGUUGCAUGAUGAGUUCCUGUAUGAUGAAAGUUUAAAUUCCUCCCACAGCCAUAUAUACAUGCUUGCUAGACUUUGAGCCACACAUUUAUUAUUUACUGCUUAUGAGCAUUGAGUGUGGUCAAGCUGUGUAGACCCUUAGGAGCUUGUCAUGUGGUUAAAUCAAGAUUCACUUGCAUGUUCACUCAUAUAUAUGCUACUUCUACUCCGGAAGUACCAUCCACAUAUAUUCAUCCAUUUCCAUCUCCAAAAUCACCUAAAAAUAUUCUACUCCUAAUUCGGGAGAGAAUAGCCAAAAACAUCUGUGUUUUUACCUUGUGAAAUAAAUGCUCAAGUUAUCUUGCUACUACCACUUGCUAUAUUAUCUCAAGAGAUGAGUGCUCUGAAAAAAAAGAAGAAAAAAAAAGAGAAAAAAAUAAACGAGGAAAUAAAAAGGGGCAAGUGCCCGGAACCUCGAAAGAAAAGAAAAAGAGUGAGACGAGAGGUAAAAAUAGACAAGUGUCCGACAGUAGAAUUAGGGGUAUAGGAUACCCAUCUGAGAGAAAAGAAAAAGAAGAGCAUCUCAUCCUCCUCAUAAAGUUUCAAAAAGCAAGGAAGGUAUGUAUCCCCUCAAAAGAGCAAAAGUAGAAUUAGACUUUCACCAUUGUUAUCACCAUCAUCACCAUACACUAUUCAUUCGCCACACAUGCACAUCUUGAUUUGGCUUAUUGAUUUGUUUCUUUGGAUCCAUGGUUUGACUAUACAAUAAAUGUCUUGUAAGUAUGUAUAUUUUAUCUCCCACCUAUGAGCUCCAGAUAUUAAAGCCUUAUUAGAGUAGGGUGAGAGAGAAGACAAUGUCACUAUCCCUUAU
RNAcentral lists this long non-coding RNA (48638 nucleotides) under Sorghum bicolor (sorghum). RNAcentral's name for it is "long non-coding RNA (SBIC_LNC010157)". The record is from RNAcentral. Lineage: Eukaryota; Viridiplantae; Streptophyta; Magnoliopsida; Poales; Poaceae.